RNAcentral lists this long non-coding RNA (78048 nucleotides) under Setaria viridis. RNAcentral's name for it is "long non-coding RNA (SVIR_LNC011472)". The record is from RNAcentral. Lineage: Eukaryota; Viridiplantae; Streptophyta; Magnoliopsida; Poales; Poaceae.
GGCGGGGGCCGGCGUGCUGGUGUGGUGGGCGGUGGCGUUCCACCCGUCGCACCAGCAGCUCUGGAUGGUGCCCGUCGGCCUCGUCCUCCUCGGCACGCCGCUCGUCGCCUGGCUCUCCCUCUUCGCCUCCGGCGCCGGCCGCUGGCUCGGCGGCCUCCGCGCCGGCGCCGACCGACCGCCCGUCGCCCCCACCGUCGUCCCGGAGAGAUGAUCAGCGCGUGCGCGGCCGCCGGCGUGCAUGCAGAUUUGAGUAUGUAGAGCAGGACCUUGGACUCAUCGGUGUACAGUUUUCUUCCCCGUCUUUCUUUCGUUCUUGUCAUGGCCGUCGGAGUGUGAAUCGGAAUCGGAACAGCAGUUUGGUAGCAGCACUACGGAAGUUUUAACUGAUUUGCAUAUGCUUUGCUUGAUGAUUUGGUUGGUUGGUUGGCAGGCCGUUUCAGAACGCGGGAUUCCCAUUCGGAUACAAUUUCCACAUGGAUUUGAGUUUGCCAUGUAGUAGUAAAAUGAAGUGUAUUACUGAUUACUACUUACAUUUGGGGGCUCAAUUUUAGACCACCCAGCACUGUCAGACUCUGGUAGAGAGAGAAAAAAUGUGAAAAUGAUCUCGGUACUUGUAAUGCUGAUGUGCUUCGCAAUAAAUUGAACGAGCCAGUAGCUUGCACCAUUGAUUUUUGGAACCCGAAAUGUCACGGGAAGGGAAGUGUUGCGCGGCUCUUUGAUUGUAUCUAGCGUGACACCUUGGAAUGGACGUCUUGGGCAUCGUAGAUCAUGAUAGCCGAGGCAAGUGGACCGACGGCGAGAGGUUCAGCUGCCGGACGGGCCCUCUUCAUAUUCUUUAUGCUACAACUAGUAUACUCCUAGUAGCAGGAGUGAGCACUUAGCAGACGCAGGUAACGUUUGGAUACUAGGUUAAACUUUAGCCCUAUCACAUCGAAUAUUCAGACGCUAAUUAGUAGGACUAAAUCUGAGCUAAUUACAAAACUAAUAGUAUAACUCCUAAGCUAAAUCGCGAGACGAAUCUAUUAAGCCUAAUUAAUCCAUCAUUAGCGAAUGGUUACUGUAGCACCACGUUGUCAAAUCAUGGACUAAUUAGGCUUAAUAGAUUCGUCUCGCGAUUUAGCCUAGGAGUUGUACAGUUAGUUUUGUAAUUAGCCUAUGUUUAAUACUCCUAAUUAGUGUCAAACAUCCGAUGUAACAGAGGUUAAAGUUUAGCCCCUAUCUCCCAAACACCCCUGCAGGCAAGAUGGCUACCUGUGUCUCCGGUAAUCUUGCUUGCUCCAUCGAUGGCUCUCAACAACAAGAAAAAAUUAGAUGGGGACGGUCCCAAAAUCCUCACCAUGAGGUCCUGCCCUCGAUUUCUGCCGCGUGGCCACCCAAGCGGAUCGACACCUCAGCGACCACAACGCUCGUACUCGGCUCAACGCAUGCAGCUCAGGUGCUCGUCUCGAAGUGGACGGCUCAGUUCCUUCUUCCCUGUCGAGAGCCGCUGCCACAUCUGUUCCGCAAGUUGUCACCUCCAGCAUCCUACGCCGCCAUCGCCGUCCUGCCGUGGUCCACCUCAGUCCCCUCGUCCGACCAAUCUCCCGUCAAUCUCUCUCAUCCUCUGCUGCUGUCGCAUCCGUCGUCCUCCACCACGGCUGUCGUAGUACGCCGAAGUCGCCUUGCCCACUGGCGCCCCCUACGACCGCCUCGUCCUCCUCUGCCGUCGCCUCCGCCGUCCAGUGCCGUCGCCGCCUCCAGCUUCACAUGAUGGGAUGCCUCGAGUAUGACAUGCAAACACAUUUUUCUCUCUAGCGUACUGUGUCUCCUCUGGCCUGACGUAUCCCAUGAAAACGGAUGAAGAUGAACAUGAAUUUUCACCUUGAUCGGGGUGUUGGAGCUAGCUAGUACCAUGACCGAACUAAAUGUCUUAUUUGCAUUAGUGGCUGUGAUUCAUAAGUCCGCCGCAUUAGCCGUCGUUCGCCGCCUCUGCACCGUCAUCCGCUGCCGUCGUCUCCGUCAUCCACUGCCGCCGCUGCAAUUUCGAGCCAGAGCCGUGGCCUGAGCCGAGCCAGCGGCUGUUGGAGAGAGCCGAGCGAGCGAGCCUGCGUUCCCUGCGAACGAGCGCGCGAGCCUGCGUUGCCCUGCGAACGAGGGCGCGAGCGUCGAUGCGGUCGGGUGGUCACGCGGCAGAAAUCGAGAGCAGGUCCUCACGGUGAGGUCUUUGCCGACCGUCCCCACCGAAUUUUUUUUUUCCUCAACAACAGUCGUUGAUCGCCUUCCAUCGUGCAGGCCUUGGCGAUAACUUCGAUUCCGGCGGCAUCCCCGGCCCACCAAGCCGCUAAACUCUCUGCCUCUAGCUCUGUUGUGGUGCGCGUACGUCUGCCUGGUCCACAUGUCACACGCACACUCACCGGACGUCAUUUCAUUCGAAUGUUCGAUCUCGGAUUAUGGAAGGAUUUGGACGGAAAGUUUUGUGCGGUUCAGCUGCGAUGCUAGACUCCGACGACCAAGCAAUUGGGAGCACAGCGAGUCCGGGUGUCACGGUGGGAAGAGAUGGCCGGAAUUCUUGUACAGUGAGCGAGACGUGGACUGCGCUCCCUAAUCAUCCUAGUAUGUUGGGGAAUUUGGAAUGGAAAGAGAGAAAUGCAAAGAAAACGUAAACCACAUAGUAAUAAUCGAAAAGAUCAGAGACGAAGCGAAUUUGUAGGUUACGGCCGGGAGCAAAGCGUCUAUGGACACUGGUUGAUGACUUCCGAUCGUAUGACCCUCCUGUGAUUACCGCGGCAUAGUUAGCAAGAAGAAGAAGAAGCUGGGAUCUUGACAUGCACCCGAUGGUCGCUACCUGUGCUGCGAGUUGUGUACUGUAUGGCGCGUGAGAUCAGAAUCGGAUGAGGAAAACUGCUGCAUCGAUGGGAGCUGAGCACAGAAUGGGCAUCUCAUUCUGUCAAAGCUUAGUCAGAGAAGAGCGGCGGUUAGGUUCGGCUCUGCUGCUGCAUGUGUAGUUCAUAAGCAGACAACCGAGAAGGAAUCUGGUGAUCUCAAGCACCCAACUUCCACUUGAUGAUACUACAAGUAUUCUCCACUUGACAUCACUAUGAUCAUCAACUAGCGCGUAUGGUCCUGGUGCGGGCGGUUCAUGUGUUGCAGCCGGGGUUGAGGACCUUCAGGUGUGGAGGUGGAGCAUCUUCUUCCUCUGAAGCUAAGCUAGGACAUGUCUGCGUCACUCACCUACCUCUCUAGCGUAGCAGAGUAUUCAUUCGGUUCCCAUGUUUGUUUGUUGCGUCCCCUCUUUCUUGGGAUGAUGACACUGCACACUGCCGUCGGAAAUGGAAGCAGCAAUGGCCUCUGCGGGUUCCGAUGCCUCUGGCAGUCUGGCUACUCACUCCGAAGUCCAAAUGGAAGCCGCUCCGGUUUCGAGUUACGAUGACGCUGCCUGCCUGCAAUCACGCAAGCCAGCGAUCAGACGGAGACGGAGGUGGCAUGCUGCAUGCACUAAUUGACAAGUUCGGUGGAAGGCUACCAGGAUGGAAAGGAAAAAUAUUAUUAUCGGCUGGGAGAGAAACAAUAGUACAACGUGUGUUAACAUCACAAUUAAUCUUACUAUUACUAAUUGGAGGUUUCUUCUGAAGCCCGAAGCCAUCUAGGAUCCUAGGUGGACACUAAAGAAAUCCUAAAAAUUCUCUCAAAAAAGCAAAACAUCUAGCCAUCAAUUCAGUAGAUUAAAAUCAUAAUAACCAUUAGAUCUAUUAUAUUUUCUAAAAAAUUACCAACCUCUGUCAUUAUGAAAAUAGCAUAAAGUAACCCCUAGAUUCAUAUCUAAAUUACCCACCUCUGCCAUUAUAAUAAUUAACUAAAGUAACCUCGAAUCUUCAUCUAAAUUACUCACUUAUACUGUAAUAAAAAAAUAAAAUAACUCCCUAAAUUUGCAUUAAAAUUGCCCCCCACUAACAUUAUAAAAAGCAAUAGUCCAAUUACCAUAUGAGGGAGGAGUUUUAAAACAAAAUCACAGCCAUUGAUUUAAUUAAAAUAAAUCAAAAAUAGAUAAAAUCACGAUAAUCACACAGCUGCCUCUCACGCACGGAGAUAAACUAGCGCCGGCCAUCUCCGAUCGUGGCAAUCCUGCAGUUCCUCGCGCGCGGAGAAAAAACAUCGGCAUCUCAGAUAGCAAGUAAUUGAUGACAGGCUCACGUCACGUUGCAUCGGGGAAAACAUGCAACUUACCUCAUGAGGAAAAACAGAUAGCUAGAUCUAAUUGAUUAUAUUUUGACUAAAUUUCUAUUUUCUAAACUAUAUAAGUAUCGGGUUAGCAUAUUUAACAAAUGAGAGAAAAUUCAAGGUAACAAUUUUGAUUAUUAGCUAUGUGUUUCAAUUGGAUACUCCGCGUUAAUUUUCACAAGACACGUUAGGAAAUUCUCACAAAAAUAAAAAAUAUGGAGUAUCAAUCAUGUAGACUCUAACAACCAUAUCCAUUGAUCUAUUAUAUUUUCUAAAAAAUAUUACCCACCGCUAGCUAUCAUUAUGAAAACAUUCGAAAUUAAACCCUAAGCCGAUAUCUAAAUUACCCACCUCCUCGUUAUAAAAUUUUAAAGUAAUCCAUAAUAUUCAUCUAAAUUAUCCAUACAUAUUAUCAGAAAUUUUUUUAAAAUAUCCUUCUAAAUUUGUAUUUAAAAUAUCCAUGUAUAUCGUUAUUAAAAAUAACAUGAAGUAAGCAUAUAAAUCUUAAUCCGAUUGUGUGCAUGUUCAUUGUACAUAAAUGUUCAAAAGUAAAUAAAUAUAUGAUUCUAAAUUACCUAUGUAUAUCGUUAUUGAUAUAGAAUUACUAAGUAAAGGUAUAUAUGCCUGAUGUGUGUCACCAUGUAGACCGUUUAUUCAUGUACGGGAGGAAGUGAUGAAAAUUAUUGAUUCUAAUGUUAAACACAAUGUAUGGAGAUGCAUUGUAAAGUGAAAAAAGUAUGAAUUUGGAUGAAAAAGUUUAUAGAGUAUUAUUAAUUAAAGUCAAUCAAAACUGGAGUAUUGUGUUAGAAUAUUAAAAAAAAUGAGAGAGUCAUAGAUAAACAAUUUUGAUUAUUAGCUAGGGAAUCUAAUUUUUAAAUAACUUUAGAAUGCAAUAAUUUUUAAAAAUUUUAGCCCGUGCAGGAGCACGGGUUGAUGAACUAGUAUAUCACUUAACAGUGUUCCCGGCACAAAAAUGACUGAUCAAGUAGAUUGAUCGACUGUGACGGGUAGGGUACCCUCAGGCAAGGGGCUAAGGCAACCAGGUACCAAAAAGCCAAAGGCCUAACAGCUAGAAGCAUUCUGGAAGCGGCGCAGACGAUGUUGCGGCCCACCACCCAACCUUCCUUGGUCGAAAGAUAAGAGCCACGACUCGCUGGCUCAGCCAGCUCGGGGGCGGGGUUGACUCAGGAAGACCUGUGUCAUAUGAGAGGCAUUAAAUGCACAGUGUGGCCCUCCUGACCGCCCCACGCCAGAGACAUGAUCGGGUGAGGGGAGCUGACCUUUAACUAGGGGGUCCGAGGAUGAGGCAACAACCUUCGGACCGCCCAGGACGACUUGCAAGAUGAGGCCACGCGCCCCGACGUCACCAUCGCCUUCGCCAUCCAGGAGACCCGUCAAGAUUAAGGCCAUGCCACCGCACCAGGCCCGGUACGGUCCCGCAGGCGAGGUAGGACCCAGCGACAAACGUUACGGUGAGGAACGGCCGUGAGCGCACUAAAGAGGUCAGGGAAAGCCAGGACAAGCGGCGCGCCCUGUCCAGGCACUAAUCACGGCCUGCCCAUUCAUCACCAGUAUGGACGACAGCAACAGCACCCUGUUCACUGCCACAGAGUUGGCAGACGGGACAGGAGCACACCACGGAGCCGGCCGAGCCGUGCAUAAGCAACCCACGCCGCACAGGAGCCACCGUACAAGGUGUGGACACGUCGCACAGGAGCCACCGUACAAGGCGUGCGAAGUCCACGACCAGCCAAAGGGACAGGACAAGGAGGCCUCUUGGUGCAAGGAAGAUCCAACCACGCCACAACCCACGACCUCUGAGGUCGGGGACCCCCUCCAUUUCUCAACGUUGUUGUCCGUUCCCUGCUCUAUAUAAGGGGAACCGGGCCUCAUUUCUCUCUCUCUCUCUCUCUCUCAUUCAACGCGUACACCCACACAUCGCACGAACGCUUGCUUGCAAGCACCUCGUUGUAAGCCCAGUGCACUUAUCCGAGGAACAUGACUCCUGCCGAAACUAGACGUAGGGAUUUUUUCCGAACCAGUAUAACUCCUUGUCUCUUGUGUGCUAGCUAUCAGAAGUGAGGAGAGCGCGGCGUACAAUCACUAGUCGGCAGUCCGAAACAUGGAAAUGGUUAGCGGAGGACACUGCUUGAUUAAAUGGCCAACAAUGUGCACGUCAAAAGACAUGGGAGGACUUGGGAUUCUCGACCUUGAGAGGCUUGCAAGAGCCCUGAGAAUGCAAUGGUGUUGGUUUCAGUGGAAACAUAGCGAGAGACCAUGGGUAGGGCUCGAUAUCCCUUGUGACAAGAACGACAGGGAUCUGUUCUAUGCUUCAACAGUAGUAAAGGUGGGCAACGGAAAGAAAGCAAACUUUUGGCAUUCUGCAUGGGUGAAUGGAAAGUCCCCAAGAAAUUUGAUACCCAGUUUGUUCCAAUGAUAUAAAAGGAAAAACUUCAUGGUACAAAGGGUAUUACAAGAUAACUACUGGAUUACUCAAAUAUACCCACUCAUGUUCGGAGAGGAAAUCAGAGAAUAUGUGUACCUAUGGGAAGAAAGAAACCUGCUGCAGAGGGACCCUACUACCAAGGACGAAAUAACGAAAUAACUUGGAGGUGGACGACGGACAGAGAAUAUACCAUGAAGAGUGCAUGCCGCAUCCAAUUCCAAGGUCAACUGAAGAAGCUUAGCAUCACCCUAAUCUAGAAAGCCCGAACGGAACCCAAAUACUGAAUCUUUACAUGGAUUCUUCUCCAUAGGAAAAUCUUAACGGCCGACAAUUUGGAAAAGCGGGGGGUGGCCCAACAACCUACAGCGCAAGCUAUGCAAUUCGGACCUAGAGACUCCCGCACACUUGUGCAAGGACUGCCCGUACACAACAGCAUUCUAGGACCAUCUACGAGGAUGGUUUUCCCUUCAUCACUUACCAUCAGGUAACGCAGCGUCCUCGAUCCACAAUUGGUGGAAGAAGUGCAGGAUCUUUAUCAACAAACGGAACAGAGCGCUCUUUAACGGCCUAAUCAUAUAUUUCUAUAUUUCUGGUAGAACAUUUGGAAAGAGCACAAUAGAAGAGUCUUUAACCACGAAGCUAAAUCAGUAGAUGACGUGGCGUUUCUUAUCAAAGAAGACUUUCAGCAGUUUCAAUUGGCAACACAGCCCUUAGCAGCCCACACUGACGUUCCAGCUUAGCAGUUUGGGAGUGGUGUUCUUCUCCGUGGGGGAGAGUGUUUAGUGUUUGCUGUUAUUUUCCUUUUUUGGAGUGUUUUUUGAAGCGAGUGCAGUGAGAGUGUGUUUAUAGUCGUGUUGUGUUUAUAGUUGUUUGUUUGUUUUUUAUUUUCUCCUUCUAAUAAAAUUUUUGGCAAAGCUUUUGCCGUCCGUUAAAAAAAAAGUCACGGGCGGGGAGGGGAGCGAGCGAGCGCCUGCGUUCAUCCGGGCGCGCGUCUCCCAGGGCCGGUGCCACCCCGGGCAGCGGCAACCCGGAGCAAAGCGAUCAUAGCUGAGUAGCUGACCUUGCUUUGUUUCCCUUUCCGUGGCCAUGGACAUGGAGAGGUUGACCGCGUAGGACUCGCUGACGAAUGUAAUGAUGUGCACGUGCUUUGUUCCGGCGGCAGCUAGCCGAUCCUUGUUUCUUCUUGUUGCUUGCCAGUUGGAUCUUGGAGUCGAUCUUGUUCCUUUAUAAUACACAAAAGCUAAGGAGCCAGUGAAAUUCCAGUAAAACCGAUGAGGCAGAGAUGAUCCUGACCACCAUGUCUCGUCUCUCGUGCUAUUAUAAAAUGCUGUGCGCCAUGAGUUUGGAGUAGUAUAUCAGCAUUCGACACAGCAGGGGGGCAAACGACCUUGCAUAUUGGACUACAGCAUCUUGGAAUAAAGCUAACUGAAAAAUCGUGAUACCUGACGAAUCGAGCAAGCCGGAAUAAUUUCCAGGGGUCCAGUUUUUGCAGCUGGAAUAAUUUCGCGGCAGCAGCGUGUCCUCCUGCAGCUGCAGCUGCAGCUCUAGAAAAGGAAGCCGGGCAGAACUUAGCUGCAAAUCGAUCGGUGGAGAGAAUACAAACAGGCAUCCGCGUCGAACCCAACAUCUUGCAAGAGGACACGGCAUAGAAAGCCACACGUCGAGUGGAGGUCGCACUCGGGUCCCCGUCACCAUAAUUCACGUCCCCAGCGGCCCAAGAGUCCAGAUCACCCUGAACCAAGUAAUUGCAACGCCUGUAGACUUGAUAGAUUUUUUUUUAACUUAGCUGUAGCUACAGCUAGCCUUGCUAAUUGGAUUGGUGUUAAUGGUUUUAGUGGAUUUAUUUAAGAAUGGAGCUGCAUCGGCCGGUAAUGGAUUGAAAAGUUAUUGAGCUGGUUUAAUUUGGGCUGCAAAUUAGAGAGGGAUGGUUAGUUAUUGGAGUAGCUUCAUUUUAUCGGAUUGUUAUCGGUGUCCAAACCAAGGGUCGUAGGCCAACUAGGCACUCGGGCUCUCGGGCAGGUCGUAGGCGCUCGCCACUGUGCCAGGCCGCAAGCGAAGGAGCUGACCCUCGCCUCCAUCCCUCCCUCCCUUCGGCGGUCCCGCCGCCGCUGCCACGACUCCCUUCCCUCGUGCCGCCGCCGCCGCAACAGCCACGCCUCCACCUCCGCCUCGCUCGCGCCGCCGCAUCAGGAAAGCUAGCAAAUUCAUCGGGCAGAGGAAGCCGGUGAACAAGCUCUCCAAGAAGCUGGCGAACGAGCUCUCCAAGAAGCCUGCGGCGAUUCAAGCUCUCCACGGCUGCCCGCAAUCUAGGUGUGCAUCAUCUCCUCCUCCGCGCCAUGUGAAGUGCGAAUCUACGAUUUGGAUGCUAUUUCCACGUCCUGGGGUGUUGGAUUGAUCGGUAGGUUUAGAUUAGAUCCAAUCUUUUGGGUUUAGGUGAGGUUUUGGGGUUGGAUCACUUUGGCAAUCCUGAACAGCAGACCUAUACCCUACGUCGCUUCAGAGUCUGUUGGAGGCUACAUGAUUCGGGGCUUGAUUGGGACAUUCUGAAUCCACUGGAAAGAAUUGUUGAUUGGCUGUUGUAAACAAACUGUGUUUGAUUUAUCAGAAAUUAGUGGUACAAAGAAAAUGUGCGAUUUCAUUUGCUCGGCACUUGAGAGAUUAGAUAAAACUCACCGUGGUGGAAGUGAAAAGGGAGAUCUUGACAUGCACAAGGUUUAUUUGCAGGAGGUUUAAUUCCUUUAGUGUGGAACAUUUUGCUUGCCUGUAAACUGAACCAGCAGCCCCAGGAGGUUUAAUUCCUUUAGUGUGGAACAUUUUGCUUGCCUGUAAACUGAACCAGCAGCCCUUGUCUGGGUUUUAUUUCUUAUUGCCUACAAAUUUCAAGAGCAAAGUAGCUGUGUCCUAUUCAUAUAUGUUGUGAUGCAGUAGUAUCCCUCAUGAAUAAAAUUUGCAAUUCCCAAAAUUAUGAUCCUCUUUCUCCGUGGAUGCUUCCCAGUCAAGGUCUUGCAUUUCUAAUGAUGGUUUUCUCUGAAAAAAACUGCAAUUUCUUAUAAGUUGUUAUUACCUAGAGAUUCUUCAACAUGUUUGCUAACACAUCAGAAACGGUUACCAACAAGAGAAAUAAUUCAUGUUACUAUCUUAGUUUCUGAAUUUGCCGUAUACGUUUUACAAGCCUAGCAACUGCCGUACACAUGUAGUGCACAACUGAAUCUAUCUUGCUUUGUUUGUUCCAGUGUUCCAGCUCCAGAUGCAUGGAGGGAUUGAUGAACCAAUUAUUGUGAGCAUAGUUCCUUCUGCCAGACGGAUUUGGUCUGCUCUGUCUUUGAUUUGGUCUGAAACAGGAGUCGUUGUUGAUAAAUUUUGACAGGAAUCAUGUAUAUUUCAUCGUUUCAGUUCCUUGGCCAGAACAUCAUAUUUUGUAAUAGUUCUGUACUUCUAAUUCUAACAUUGUUGGAUUUUUAAUCUUCUUAGAGGAAUCUCACCUCUGUCUUACCGCAUAGCAAGAAGACCGUUUGGGCAGUUGUGUGCUCCUGUUCACCUGGCUGCCUGUGUAAUCUUGGAUGAAGCUGCGGUGGAAACAAUUUCUUAAUGGGUAAAAUCGGUUGUAGCUGCAGUUUGGACAGUGGUUUGUUAUAUUAUUUGCUGCGGGAGGAGGAUUGGAUUGGUGGGGUUUGAUUCAUGGAGGAGCAAGAUUGGAGUAGGGUGGGUUGCAUUUUCUUUGUACAGUAGAAUAGAUUAGAAUAGAUAGGUGUGGUUUUGGCUUGGGUACGAGACGUAGACUUGAUAGAUCUUUUUUUUUAAUAUUCCUAGACACAGGCGCAUAGCUCCCUACUCCUACCCCACCACGGCGGUCGGCGGCCACGAGAGCACGCGGCUGCGUUGGGAGGCGCUGAAUCCGUGGCCGGCGUGGCACUGGCACUGGCAACGAUAAGGUGGUAUGGCCCAUCCAGGGCGGGGGGACAAUCAUGUGGUUACCCGCCCUAGCUCCAUGAUUGAUCGGACUAGUGAUGGUCGUGGAGGCAGGCAGGCACUCGCUCGCUCUCGUCACGGUAUCCCGUAUCCCCCGUGGAUCCCAAGCUAGCGACGCGCCCUGGCUGACUGGCGCGGGUAAGAUCUGGCGGAGGCCGUGUUACUCGUGCCUACAUCUGGCCGGGACCGGUCGUCAUUCUACUGCGCGGUGUUGAUUGGACUACGCGGGGCCCACGCGUUUCUUCUACCAGCGAAGACUUGACGAAGGCUUUUGGGGUGGAGACGUGGAGCUGCUGGCUGCUGCCGAGCGGCGUCGUGCCGUGGCACGGCAGGAGAGCUGGGGAGGGGAGGAGAUCCCGCGUAUGCAGAGUGGAGAGCGGCAGAACGAAGCGCGUCUCUUUCGACGGCCGCAUGAUUGGUGUACGGGACCGUACGGCGCUCCUUCCCGGAAGUUGCUGGCGAGGACGGCACGAUUCGGUUAUCGUUUACUACUUAUCUGAAUGAUGCACGAGUCAAGUCAACCCACCACCAAAAUGUAAUCCACGGCUCUAGAUGAGCUCCGCUGCCCGUUCUCGGGCUCAUGCAGAAGCAGAACCUUCCGUUCCGUCCGCUCCCGUUUUGCCAUUGCAACCUGGCCGUCCGGUCCGGUCCGGCUGGCCCCAGCAGCGCCUGGCCCAGCGCACCGUGCUGGCGGCGCCUAGAGAUAAGCGCGAAACGGACCAGCUCGACCUGACCAGCUGAAACGACGAGGGCCCACCCCUCAGACGGACACCGCAGCUCCGCGCGCCGCCUGCGUACAUCUCACCCCAAACGGAACGGACCGGGCCCACCAGCGCAGCGCAGCGCCGCGGCAUAUAAACCGGACGCGCGCGGAGGCGGACGGGAAGAGCAAAUCCACCGCUCUCGUCGACCCAGCGCCAGCGCCAACGCCAACCGACCCAGCGAACCGCGGCGCCUCGUCGCGCCCUGCCUGUCCGAGCCUCCGAUCGAUCGCUUGUUCCGCCGGGCCGAAGGGAUGGCGGAGUCCGCGGCGCCCAAGGCGACGGCGGCGGCGGCGGGGAGGAAGACGCGGGUGGGGCCGUACGAGCUCGGGAAGACGAUCGGGGAAGGAAGCUUCGCCAAGGUCAAGCUCGCCCGCGACUCACGCACCGGCGCCGUCUGCGCCAUCAAGGUGCUCGACCGCAACCACGUCCUCCGACACAAGAUGGUCGAGCAGGUCCGCCGCCUCCCGUCCCUCCUUUGCUCCUUGGAAUCAUAUCCUUCAUUCGCCAGCAAUCCGUUGGAAUCGUACCUGAACGAAUUAAAAAAAAUACCUGACCUGGCAUAUUUAGGAAGAUCUUUCCGCUAUUUAUUCGUAGAAAAUGGGGGAUAAUCAGACAGAAUAUCCAUUGACGUCUCUGUCGUUGUCUAGAUUCUGUUCCUCUUGGAUUGUUUGUGAUGGGGAAAAAUCGUGUGUUCGGUGGGUGUCCCCCGUCCUUGCUUAAGCUUUCGAGAUGCUGCGCGAAUCGGAUCGGAAGGGGAAUCAAAUUCAGAUUGGAAAUUAUGACCUUAUGAUCACCAAAUCAGAUAGGAAACCAUUCUGACACAAGGAACAAUGAUCCACGCCUAGAUGAUGUUUAUGAAAUGCGUAUGACUAUGGUUGUCAGGAGUUUCUCUCAAUACAUUUUUUUAUCGAAAGGAAAAACAAAACUCUGCUGUCGCGUUGUGAUGAAAUACGAAUGUAUACUAGCAUCAGAUGUCUGCUGUCCAGUUGUUUGAACCGCUCUGCCUUCUGCAUAACUUGAGUUUGUAACGUGAACGCUCACCACUUCUUCCACUUUCAGAUCAAACGGGAGAUUUCCACUAUGAAGCUAAUCAAACAUCCCAAUGUGGUCCAGUUGCAUGAGGUAUCUUCAAAUAUUUGCCGAGACACGAUAGUAUAAAUUCCAUUACCUUUUGAUAUUCCAUCUCACUCAAUAUGUGUGUUUUUGAUAGGUUCUGGCCAGCAAAACAAAGAUAUACAUGGUUCUUGAAUUUGUUGACGGAGGCGAGCUAUUUGAUAAGAUUGUAAGGCCCUCAAACUUUCAGCGCCUGAUAUUGUUACUCUUUAUUGCUUUUAACCUGAGCUUACCCGUGCCAAGAAAAAAACAUGUGAGCUAAGUUUCGAGACCCUGGCACAUAUGUUUGUUUAGGUCAAUUCUGGGAGGUUAAGUGAAGAUGAAGCAAGGAGAUACUUUCAUCAACUUAUAAAUGCGGUUGAUUAUUGCCAUAGUCGAGGAGUUUACCAUAGAGACCUGAAGGUUUGUUGAAUUAUUCUGCUAUCUUUCUGAUGCGUUAUUCCUCAAUUAUAUAUGCUAUGCGGUUCACUGUCUAAUUCAUGGAUGUCUCGUGUUCUUUUUGCAGCCAGAGAAUUUGCUUCUUGAUUCACAUGGAUCUCUUAAAGUUUCAGACUUCGGACUGAGUGCCUUUGCGCCACAAACAAAAGUAUGAUCUCUAUCUAGUAUCUAGAAAAAUGCAUUUUGCAUGUUCAAUAGUUAAGCCCUUUUGUUUCUCUAUGACAGCGAUGCAUUUUAGGUCUUACAGCAUUCGUCCGGGUCAAUCGACUUAACUUGCUACCUUCUAUAAAAAUAUUCCAGAAUAAAUGAGUAAACAAAAAAAGAAUUGCCAUUAACUCUUCUGUUGUUUUGUUAGGAGGAUGGGCUUCUGCAUACUACUUGUGGAACACCAAACUAUGUUGCACCUGAGGUGAAUUCCUCACCUUCCAUUAGUUACCCACUUAUUUUGUUGCGACCUUGUGUGAUUAAUGUGCUUCAAGAUGUGUAAGCAUCGGACUUUUACUGCAGGUGCUUGCUGAUAAAGGUUAUAAUGGUAUGGCUGCUGAUGUAUGGUCCUGUGGCAUAAUCCUAUUUGUUCUUAUGGCCGGAUAUUUACCAUUCGAUGAUUCCAAUCUGAUGAGGCUGUACAAACUGGUCAGUUUGAGUGAUAGAUUUAGAGUAUUGGUUUACUUUGUGAAAUUAAGUUGUAACUUUGGGAUGAUUUUCUAAUUAUAACUUCCUUUGCAGAUCUGCCAGGCAAACAUUUCUUGUCCGACAUGGUUUUCUUCCGGUGCAAAGAAAUUCAUUAAGCGCAUUAUUGAUCCUAAUCCUGAUACGGUAAGUGUGAAUUAAGAAUGUGCAUUUCAAUAUAUGCUGCCUUUAUUCAAAAUUAUCCAUUGUGCUGUAACCGGUAGACCACUGCUAGUCAUGUGAAUUCUUGUCUUCUUAUAAGUCUUACUAUCAUCACUGUUUGAGAAAAUGGGUGUUUUAUUCUGCAGAGGAUAACAAUUGCAGAAAUUUUGGAAGAUGAAUGGUUCAAAAAGGACUACAAGCCACCACGUUUUGAACAAGGUGAAGAUGUUAGCCUUGACGAUGUUGAUGCUGUAUUCAACGAUUCAGAGGUAUAAUACAAGCUAACGGUUCAUUCUUAACUUGCAAUGGACUAGAAAAUCUUCCCAGAAAUAUUAUGUGCUAUAAAAACAAUCCAAUGUUCUAUUUCACAUCCACAUUAUUGACAGCAGUUUCUGUAAGCUGAAUCUUUCUAUCUUCGUUUUAUUUUGUAAGACCAGAUUGAGAAUAUCUAUUGCAGGAUGGAACUAUUCUCAUUCUUUUUUUACUGACUCACUCAAAUGUCUCGAGAUUUUCGUAAUGUAUACUGACUGUCCCAUAAAAUAUCAGAUUGGUCAACAUCUCAGCAAACGGUUAUAUAGUUGUUACAUAUAGGCACCGCUUAAUGGGCUACCUUUUCCUUUUGACGUCUUAGGAACAUCUUGUGGCGGAGAAAAGGGAGAAACCAGAAUCCAUGAAUGCAUUUGCUCUUAUUUCAAGAUCACAGGGCUUCAACCUUGGAAAUCUUUUUGAGAAGGAGAUGAUGGUGAGUCCAUAGAGAUUUCAAUUUACUACUUUCUCAGUUUGGAAUGUGUUAAAGAUUAGUUUCAAGAGGGGGGGGGGGUGCAUUCCUUUCAGAAGCAGAUGGUAGGUGGUUGGUCGUCUAUUAUUUCACCAAUUUCAGAAUAUGUUGCAGUCUUGACGAUUAGCAUGUUGAAGUGUUACCAUUUGGGGUUACACUUCCUAGUCAGAAAGCAAUUGUACUUUCAGCACACCUUUUUCUUGAUUCCUUACUAAUGCAAGUCUUUUUUUUUUAAAAAAAGGGAAUGGCAAAGCGGGAAACAUCCUUUACAUCUCAGUGUACAGCACAAGAGAUCAUGUCUAAAAUAGAGGAGGCUUGUGGACCACUUGGUUUCAAUGUGCGCAAACAAAAUUAUAAGGUAUGUGACAUUUUUUUUUAACAAAUGGCUAGUAAUGUAAGGACUAAUGUUUUUUUUCAACUUGCAUUAUUUAUGGCAUUAAUGUUUUACAUGUCUUUCUUUUUGGACUUCCAGAUGAAAUUGAAAGGUGAUAAGACUGGAAGAAAAGGCCAUUUAUCUGUAGCAACAGAGGUACUGGUUUUAUUAGCUCUAUGUUCAGUAUUGCAACUUCAGAGUGUAGCUUAUUGAAAUUGCAUAAUUCUGAAUCAACCUCUGCGCUUUGUACUGCAAGUUCUAGUGCAAUACUUAGCAUAACAAUAAAUAAUUCUGUUAUCUGAGUCUUUCCCUUGCAUUCGUGUCCAUGAUUUAUUCGUUUGCAGGUUUUUGAGGUUGCUCCAUCACUUCACAUGGUUGAGCUUCGUAAAACCGGAGGAGACACAUUGGAGUUUCACAAUGUACGUUCUCAAAUUAUUCUGCUUGCUGUAAGAAUUAUUCAGUGAUUGUUUUCCUUAUCACUUUCAAAUAAUUAACAUGGUUUCAUCAAUACGCAGUUCUACAAGAAUUUCUCAACAGAAUUGAAGGAUAUAGUGUGGAAAGCUGAAUCUGACACAAGUAAGAAACAGACAAAGUAAUUCCAAUGGGACCUGUGUAUCUUCUAAGGCCAUAUUGGUAAAAUAUAGCGCCUUUUUAAUGAGUGCGAUUGUACACAUACAUGUAUGCAGAGGCCCUCCCUGGGAUGCUCCUAUAUUGUAACGGUAAUAUGGGAUGUAACAUAGGUUAUCCUGAACUUAUUUUUUUGUUUGUCACCAGGGCUUAGUGUGCCUUUAUUCAAGGUAAUAGCUAAUGAUGAACAAUGAUGUGGGAAUGCUAACCGUGCAAUUGCAGACACAUGCGGAUCAGUUAUGAACCUGAAAUCCGUUAUUUUUGAGGGCUCUACGCCUGAACCUGGGGGAUGCAUCCUGCACCGCAGACUCAGGCGCAAUACGUUUGUUCCUCCUAUGAGUAGUUGCCUCCGUUAUGACUAAGUGCGCGCGCUGCUGGAUACGGUAUCAGGGCAGUGUAAACGUGUAAUCCACCGUUAUUCAAGUUGGUGGACCAUGGUGGACCUGCACAGGAGUUACAGAACUCGACCGUUAUUCCUGAACUCGAUGGAGGUAGUGGUCGGAACUUGGAAGUGACCAACUGACCACUGAGGGCCUGGACUUCGGGAUUUACAAGUAAAAUUACUGCUUAUGUCGGUGUUCAUCGGUGGUUUUGGUUGGAAUUCGAUAGGCUUCAAAAGCUACAAGCUCUCCCAAUCCAGGCCUAAGGGUUGGUUCCUUAAAUUUAGGCUUAUUUUACUAUCCUUAGUUAGAGGUACCACUAAAUUUAACUAGCCCGUAAAAAUGACUCUUGAAAAUAUCAUGUUUUUGGUGCAAUUAGCAGCGCAGUGCUAUGUAGAAAUGCCAAAUUUGGCUAGGUCAUUAAGUUUAGGACCACGAUGUUAAGGUGUAGUACUUCUGCUAAUGGAAUAGAGGGAGCUACUGGUGUUUCUCACCUUCAUUUCUAAUUUCGAUAAAUAAGGCUAUGUUUAGCAUUGCUUUGGUUUUUGAAAAGCACUUAUCCUUUUCUGUUUCAGGAAUCAGGAUAAGUAGCUACUUAAACAGCUUUGCAGGAGCAAUAAGAACAAAAUUUCACCAAAAUUAGAAAAAAAAUCUUUAGGGGGUGUUUGGAUCCUUGGGCUAAAGUUUAGCUCGGGUCACAUCGGAUGCUUGGAUGCUAAUUAGGAGUAUUAAACAUAGUCUAAUGAUAAAAAUAAUUGCAUAAAUGAGGGCUAAUUCGCGAGAUGAAUCCAUUAAGCCUAAUUAGUCCAUAAUCAGCACAUGUGGUGCUACAGUAAACAUGAGCUAAUUAUGGAUUAAUUAGGCUUAAUAGAUUUGUCUUGCGGAUUAGCCCUAAUUUAUGCAAUUAUUUUUAUCAUUAGUCUAUAUUUAAUACUCCUAAUUAGCAUCCAAACAUCCGAUGUGACCUGAACUUAACUUUAGCUAAGGAUCCAAACACUCACUUAGUAGAUUCCACGGCGCAUCGACCAUAUAUGUCCAUAUCGUGACUCUCUGAGAUACCAAAUGCGAAGUAACGUUUUAAGGAAGUCCAUACAUGUACGUCCACAACUCUGUUCUAUCUUUAUACCUUUGUUUAUUAGCACGCAGAAAUGUUCCCUAGCUCAAAACCCCGAAUGAAUAGAAUCUUUCUGUACCUACUAAAAUCUCUGAAGAAGCUCUUGCAUUGCAAAGACACUUCGUCCCUUUUAAUUUUUCAAAAUAAUGCUAUGUACUCCUCCAUCUCAAAAGGAAUGAUUUUCUAUGAUUUUUUAGACAAAUUAGACGUGAAUGAAAAUGACGCAUGCAGUCUUAGUUAGUUCAGUUUGCAUAUAAAAAAGAAGAAAAUAUGUUUCAAUUUAAUCAUGCAUGUACGAGAUCAACGUGCUAAAUUAUGCAUACUUAAGAUUUAUAAAUUAUGCGUGCUUAAGAUUUAAAUUUUAGAACAUCAAUUUUUUAACAAAUUUUGAAUGUUAAAAUAUUAUUCUUUUUGGACGGAGGAGGAUGUCGCAUCGAAUCUGACAAUGCAUGGAUGGGAACAUCUGCGUGGCAGAUGGCUGCAGUGCAAUGAUAGCAAUCUGAGAGGCGGGAGCUGGUAGAGUGGUAGGCGCGCAGUACCAGAUUAAUAGCAGGAAUAGCGGCUUCUUUCGUAGCUAUUCGUCAGUGGUCACUCGCCAGUACACUCACCCGAGCCCUGACACUGAUUUCCGGCGAAGAAAAAGGGAGCUUUUGAUUGGCCAUCCACCUUCUUCUACAGUUUCUUGACAGAAUGACAGCCGUUGCUUGCAUGACAGCACCUUGACACCAUGACACCCCUGUAAGCCCCCAUCUGUACCUCUGUAAGACAGUAACCUGGCUCAAGUGACCGGUGUCUUCGCUCUUUCAGUUUCAGACGGCGCCCGGUGUUCAUCUAGAGGGAUGCUGAUAUUGGAGGGGACGCACGGCUGCGUGCAAGUCUCAGCUAUCUGCGUGACAGCGAGGGUGGGUGGGGAAAACCGCAGCAGGUAGCGGGUGUUUUCUUUAACCCCCAUUAGCAAAUCAAAUCCAUUAUUCCACCGGUCGCCGUCGCCACCGACCACCACCGCACGUCCGCACGCGCCGAAGGGGUCAGUUUCUCCGGUUCUCCUCUCUGUUUUCUGACGCCAGGUGAUGACCCGGACGGGAAAACGAAACCGGACACGAGCUCUUCUUUCUCCCCGACCCGUGCCCUCACAGAAUCGGCCAUGUUUUCGUCGCCGCCGCAGCGACGGCUCAUUGAUGACUGAUAAGGGCAAAACAGAGGAGAAAGACAGAGAUCAAUUAAGCAGGUCGCGUUCCGUUCCGAUACAAGCUGCCGAGUCCCUUUUGGCUCUCCAAGGGUCUGUCGGUGCCUGGAGACCCGGCUGCUGUCAGGGGCGGCGCUUAGACGUCGGGGUCAUCCGAGUCAUCGGCACCGAAAGAUUUGACGAGAACAGCGGAGGGGCAAGAGAGGCCGCGAGCUGCCGACGCCGAUGCAAACGCGACGUCACGGCCGGGGCUCUGCUCUGACUGAUAAACAACUCGUGUCAGGUUGGAGAUCAAUACGGCAUCCACCUUUUCCGAGCCCUGGUGACGGUGCCGUAUUUUGUUGCUGCCUCGUAAACAAACCAACCAAAUGUAGGCUGCAUUGCAAGUUGCAGCUGGCUUGAGAUCACAGAAAACAGACCAUAGCUACUUUUGGGCAACCCUUUUCCUUUUUAUUUGUGGUUUGGCAUGCUAUAGCUAGGUUCUGAAACCAGUCUGUCUGCAAUGAAGUGCUGGCCGACUAGUGAUCCACGAUUCAUUAUGCUUGGCUUCAGUGGCAAAAGUUUGGUGACGGUGCACGACAAAUGGCCAGGCGAUUCCGCAGUUUUAUUUUUCUACUACUAGAUUUCUUACAAGUUUUCUGUGGCUGCGCUGGCUUAUCCGUUUCUUUCUCUCGAGAAAAAGCAGAGAGCCUUUUAUUUGCAGCCAUGGAUGCUGCCGUUCCGAGCUGAUUCUUGCAUCGUCGUCGUCGUCUUCGUCGACGCCGCAAUGGUGGUGGAUUCCUUAGAGAAAGUGUUUUAGGUGGCCUGACGCUGCGCUUAGCGCAGCCACGAGAGAGACGUGUCCAACUCGAACGUGUGGUUGUGCCUCACGGCGCCAAGAAUUCAGACGCAUCGUCGUGGUGGGCAUGCUUCUUGCUGCUCCGACGUCAUGAUCGCUUCUGAAUUUUGUCCUGGGUUUAAUGUGGGGAUCACCAAAACCUCAAGCCCCGUCCACCCGUCCACGGUAUAAGAAACCUUUUGACCUCGUAAGUUCUACAUCAAGUAUAAAGAGGUGCGGAGCUAUUCUAGCCUCACGAGUCCCAAACUGAGAAGUAAAACUCAGCUACCCUCGAACGUCGUUAGCAGGUCUCAAGACUAACCUUGCAAGUUGCGCGUCAGCAACAACAAAAAUAGAACCCCGUUAACCUCGCACGCUCUAUGGAGGCACCUCUAAUGGUAAAAUCUCGUAUCCUUGCAUCACCUCUACUCCUAGAAAGACUCGAGGGCAGUGAUUGACAACAAUAAUGCCUAACUCCCACUGGGUUAACCCUCGAGUAUUCAGAGUCGGUUUCGGACACUGAGCUUUUAUCUUUUUACUCUUUACUCAGAAAUGAGCUCGCAUAAGAACUAUGCAAGGUUAAGACCUCUCGGUAAGACUCAACGAAGCAGGCGCCUUGAGGCUGGGCGUUCGUCUCGGAUCGCGGAUGAAGCCUCGAGGCUGGAUGAUCGGCUUAAAAUGAAGAUGAAGUCUUGAGGUUGGAGGGCGGGAGGUGUGAAAAACAUGAUCACAUGGAAAAGUUCAAUUUGUACACGUGUUCCUUAAUUACCUUUAUGUACGGCAUAUCCUAGGAAUGUAGUGGUCAUGAAUCACUAUAAAAGGGGAGCCCUACCCCGUUGUAAGGGGAGAUCAAUUUUUACAAUUGUGAAUAUUGUUCCCAAUGUAACUUUAAAUCUGUUUGGUGUCAAAUUUCUUUGAGACCAACAGGGCGUCACCAUGUUCUCAGCUACAAAACAACCCACGAUUCCAUAAACGAAGAAUAAGAAAACUGCACCACAGGAAGCAGCCGAGGGCGAAAGAGAGAACCCUGCGGCUCAAGAGAAAAAACGUUAUCCCUGUUGAUCAAGAUGGCACAGAUACCAUGGAGAAGUUAAAGAGAGUUGAGACUAACUUACGAACAAGAAGCGAGAAAAAAAAGAGUCGAGGCAGAAGUAACAAACCAAGCACAGCCGGAAACAAGCACAGGAAACGAUUUACUCGGAGCAGCAGAAAAGGAAUUGGCCUUAGUGCUAAGACAACUUGGACUCUAAAACAAGAAAAAGAAAUAUUUGCUCAAAAGCUGGAAGAACAACGUCUAGCGGCCCGAAAAAUAGCAAAACUAAAUCAAACAAAACAACAAUGGGCAGAAUUGCGAAAAAUAGCAAAACUAAAUCAAGCAAAAUAACAAUUGGCAGAAUUGCAAGAUGAAUUGGAUGAACUGCAAUACUUACCAAACACACCACCACAACCACCACCCCACCACCCUUGAGACAGCAGUAUGUCGCGAAUGACGCAAACAUCCGCAAGCAAAUCCUAACCUCACUACGCACAACGUGCCAGUGAUGAUAGGCGCUUAUGUAGCAAUCAACUAAAGCUCUCCAUUAUCCAUAGACCUGCAAACAGCUCUAUGGCCUCCAACCUACAAGACAGUUUCACUGCCAAAGUUUAAUGAGCAAAAUGACCCUCGUCAAUUUCUCAUGAGCUCCGAAGCUACAGUAGCAUCAGCUGGAGGAGAUGAUGUUGUCUUAGCCAAGUCCCUAAUCAUAGCCUACGAGGGUGCAACACUGAACUGGUACUCACUACUCCCACCGCAGUCAGUAUACAGUUGGAUAGAUUUCAAAACAAAGCUAAUAUAAAACUUCCAAAGCUUCCAUCGUGCAACAAUAGACUCGGGUGACUUGUUUCACUGCAUCCAAAGAGAUAAAGAACCCCUAGCCAAUUAUGUUAAAAGAUUCGUAUAAUUGAAGUCACAAACUCCAGGUGUGGAUGAAAGCGUAGCCAUAGUAGCACACUAGGCUCGACAACUUCGCACCUAACAAGAGAAAAACCUAAAACCAUGGAAGCCUUGUUCGCCGAGUUGGAAAAAUACUGCAGGUCAGAUGAGGAUCAUAGAAAAAGUGUAAUGGAGAGAAACCACCAAAGGCAAGUUCAAAAAGAUCAAAAUUGGCAAAUCCCGAAAUACAAUUUCGUACAACAUCAACAGCCAUAUCCAGCUCAACAUGUGCUACCGAUCAAGGGUGCUCAACCCUCCAGCAACAAAGUCAAAAUCACAAUAGACAAACCAGCAAAAUAACAAAUAAGUUAUGGCAAUGGACGAAGAGGCAGUCACUCUGGCAGGGGAGGCCUGACUUACCAACCUACCACGUUCUUAGUCUCGUGCCAGGAUUAAGCAGAAUUCGUUCAAAUGUCACUAGACGGUCUUCAGCUAAUCCCACGGGAAAACCGCGCACUGAACGCUGAUCUUCCGUGCUAUAGGUGGAGGCCUGAUCUAGUCCUUUCAGAAAUUCAGAGUAACCGACAAUUCAGCUCCUGUCCCCCUGUGAAUUCAAACAGCACGUGCCGCUAAACACAAAGAAACCUCAUGCCUGUUUUGAUCGUACAAACUAAACAUGCAUCAUACGGCUGCAAAGAACAAAGUGUAGUGCGUCCAGCUUUGCCACAUGGGCAUGAUAAUCGUACAGGCUAGAAAAUCGUACGGCUCGGAGAUCUCCUCCAACAGCCCCAAAAUUUCCAUGUCUGGUCACGGAUUUCUCUCUCGAAACGAAUAUAAGACGGCCCAAAAUCAUGAAAUGCUUCCAAGAACAUCCUGUACAAGACACAUGCAUCUAGCUAGCUACGAGAGCCUGGCAAAACAAGAUGCCAAGAUCUCUUUUAUACCAUUAUUUGUGGCGCCAAGCCAAUGAUCCUGACUCUUGGCUAUAGAAAGCAGAGUUUGAACAGCCCCCACAUGCUGCUGCGUUCAUCAGUGAGUGGCAUGACCGCACACCUAUCAAGCACCGCACGCAUAUUCCUCUCUCCAAGACUGUCCUUUAACCCAUCACACUCUCCUUUCUUUCUUUGUUCUUUCUCCUGCCUCUCGUUGAUCCCGUCGCUUUGAAAGAAAAAGAAAAAGAUGGUGCGGAUGCACGUCACAAGCAGAACGUAGCAUCACCACAAAAUUCGGUUACAAAUUUAAAAACUCAGCUACAGAUUUACAUUGGUCGCAGUACGAUUUAACUGCUAGUUUCGGCUGGCAAAACUAGGUUUUUGAUUUGUUUGUCUUCUCAUCAUCUCAUAAUAUAAUACGAUGACGACGACGGAUGUACACAUGGGUGAUGGAUGGGAUGGGACACGUACGUACGUUGGUUCGCCUACCUCGAUCUCAUGCACCGCGAGAACGAAAGCGGCCGGCGAUCGAUUGCUCCAAUUCGUUUCAGCAGAUGGCGCAGGAGUUGGGGUUCUCCUCCAUGCUCAUGUUCCGCACGUAGUAGUAGGGCGCCGGCGCGUACGGGUUGUAGUACGCCGGCGGCGGUGGCGGUGGUGGGCGGUACUGGUUCAUGUAGUCUGCCGUGACCAUGUUCAUGUACUGCGGCGGCAGGUGGUGCCACGGGAUCGGCAGCGGUGUCGGCUUCUUCUCGCCGCCGCCGCCGCCUUCCUCCUUCUUGCCAUCGCCUUCCUUCUUGCCGUCGCCGUCGCCUUCCUUCUUGCCCUCGCCGCCGUCCUCCUUCUUCCCGUCGCCGUCCUUCUUGCCGUCCCCGCCCUCCUCCUUCUUGCCGUCGCCUUCCUUCUUCCCGUCCCCUUCCUUCUUCCCGUCCCCCUCUUCCUUCUUGCCCUCGCCUUCCUUCUUCUCCUCCUUCUUCUCCUCCUUCUUCUCCGGCUCCUUGGCCGGGCCGAUGGAGUCGAUGUGCGCGGCCCAUGACUUGCGCAGCUUGCUCACCACGUCCACCGGGUCCACCGUGCCGAUCACCGUCAUCUUGCGCGCCGCCAUGUCCACCGAGAUGGCGUCGAUGCCUGAUCGCGACAAGCCCAAGUUGUUAAGAACAGAGCAAGGAUGGUGAUUAGAUUCAACGGUGCCGACACUGUGAGAGAUGAGUACGUACCGACGAGCACGGAGACGGCCUUGAUGGCCUUCUGCUUGUCCUUGUUGUCAUGCAACUCCAGCCUCACCACAAUUUUCUGCACACGAGAGCAUCACGGUUACUCUGGCUCCGAACAGGGGACGGAAGGCAGCAGGCAAUGUGUGACCAACGGUAGGUGGCUACUACCACACUACAAGAACCAACACAACGCCUGAACAGGCAGGGAAAAAAGUGCAGAGAAACGACUCUGAUCUUUGUUUCCAAAGCAGACAGAACCAACCAAUCCAAAACCAAAAGGGAGCUCAAUCACGAUCGGUGUAAUGCAUCCAAGAAGAGCAGGGAGGCUCACCUUCGACAUGCCUGAGAGAAGAAGAGCACUGGGAAGGAUGUGGACGGAAUGCAGGUGGAGCAGGGUGGAGUGAAGAGUGGAGAAGCCAGAGGAAAGUUGGGCGAGGUAGUAGCGAGCGAGCGUGCCAACACGCAACGACGCCGAGCGCGAGGGCAGAGGGGAGUUGGGGAGUGGGAGGCCGAGGGCGCCUCUAAAUACCAGCGGCGCGCGGCAGAGGAGAGGUAGCGUUGGUGGCAAGCGCGGUGAGCAGUGGCCGUGGUACAACAAGCCACAGCCCACAGCGACAGACAACCGGAGUGGCUAGUGGCGGUGGAUGGUCGGUCUCCACCUCAGCCGUGAGUGCCAGCGAGUGACCGCUGCUAUCGCCUCCCUCCCUGAUGGCUGCUGUGUGCCUGUGUGGUGUGACCUGACCGUGUGAUCGUGUGAAGGCGAACGAGGCCGGGGACCCCGAGACAGAGGACGAGAGGUCGGAUUCCCCGGCUGGGCAGACGCUUUAUGGCUUGUUCCGAUCUGGCGCGGCACCGUCCAAAAGGGACGAGCAGUCCACGUCCACCCCACGCGGCCGUGCCGUCCCGUGCGGCCCCCAAUCAUUUUACCCUUCAUUCUGCUGCACGCCUCCCUCCCAUGCACCGUCGGCCUCAUCAUUUUAAUUGUCUCGGCUCCUGCUGCAUCAUCUCCAUCCCAAAUUUACAGUGCAGGGUGGUCGCAGGCAGCCUCUGCUCUGUCUGCAUGGACAAGAUUUCCUGUGAUGACUGUCGGUUCGGCAUCGUAUCUGCUGCGGUUACUGUCUCUGCACCCUGCUCCUGCAGUGCAGCGUCCUUGGUCCUCUCCAUUCCCUUCGGUGAAACUUCUCUCCUUUUCAGGAACAGCUCUAUCGCGACCCUGAACUGUCAUGCUCGUUUCCGCGUGCUCGAGACCUGUGACCCGCCGUCCUGCUCCGCCGUUGGUAUCCAGUGGUACGGCACAGGGUUCCCCUUGAUGGAUGCUUGUGCCAUGGAUGCUUCUUGGAACCAGAAUCUGGGACCGGUCGCUACAGCGGAGCAAGAUUUCAGAAUCUGCCGAAUGCGGAUGGUUCGAAUGAACCCCUGCCCCCACCGUGCCCGGUGAUCGGCAGCCUGCACCGGAAAUCAGCCGAUGCUUCAUCAAAGCCUCUUGCUGUAAUUGUUGGAAAGAAACUAAAAAAGGAGAGAGCUCUUGCUGCGAUCCCAUUGUUCAUGUCAUUAUCAUCUACAAAGUGAUCGGCAAUAAGGACGUGUCACCUCUCUUAGUUUCUUUAAGAACGAUCUAUCAUCAAUGAGGCUGCUCUCUGAAGCUGACAUACACGGCGCCAAUCAUCUAGUUUCGACUGCUAAUAAUUGGGCGUAAAAUUCAGAAUGAUCAGGUGGCGCCAGAUCGCGAUAACAUUGAUGAGCUCUGGCGAACAUAACAAAUUAACAACAUAGGUUUAGGUUGCCCCAUCACGAUCGGUAGAAGCCAUUCACUUUGAACAGGAGUAGGCCAUGCAUGCAUGAAAAGGGCUCUCUUCUUUUCCUCACCACCACCAUAGAUUGCGAUUAAAAUUCAGUGCUGUAUUUUAUAUCGACUUCGUUUUCCAGCCACGACCUUAGACUACUGCAAGUUGUCAUCGUUUUCCUGCAACUUGCAAAGCCACCGCCGAUUUUAUCAACAUCCACCUCCAGUUUCUUAAACACGCUCGAUUCUUCUACUGGACUGUCAAAUCAGAAUCAUCUGUAGCAAAUAAAGCAUUCUUAAGGUCAAGGUGUCAAGCUUUGUUCGCCCAUUCUGGUGACUGACUGGUGAAACCUUUGUUCGCGCAAGCAUCGUAUCCUGAGUUCCUGACUCUGAAGAUUGGCGAUUGGUGAUCGGCUAGCUCCAAAAGUCAAAUUGAACUUUGAAGUUCCCUUGCGACCUAGGAAUUCUGAAAAGUCGUUAUCUCUUUCUGAGUGCUUAAGGGAAAGACAUUCGUGCAGAAUGAGCUUCCCGUUUCUCUUUUUCCUUGCUGGGUCUUGGUGUUCUUGGUGGGCCAUGGUGAGUAGUACUAAUAUUGUAUGGUUACAGAACAAGCUAAUUUCCCGAGCAUACCAAAUUAUUCCAGCUUACAAACCUGAUUCACAUGGUUUGCACACAGUCCCUGGAAAGGUACCGAAGGGUUCCACACGAUAUACCUUAGGCAUUACCAGUUUCAUGUUUUUUUAUAAAAAGGAAUUUAUGUUACAAUUAUUGUACCUCUUAUUAUCUUUUCUAAGGAUGGUAAAAGGAGGAUCAGUAUUAAUCAGGGGAAUUACAGAUUACAGUAACAAGCCCAUCUCUAUAUAUCCUCGAUCUAAAAAUUAAAGCUCAAGCUCAAUAAGCCAUUGGAGGAGCUCUACUGAAAAUAAUGUUGCCGUGCUGGACCAAAGUUUGUCAAGCACUCAAGCUUCACAUGUUACUCUUAAAGUUCAAAUAAACUUGAGCUUACUUGAUCCAAAUUUACGAAAGAUUUCUACAAGCCAAGCUUUACAUUUAGAGCUUUUAGGCAAGCUCAAGAUACAUGUGGUAUUUUGUUGCUGAAUUUACUUGAGAUCUGAAGGUCGAGCCUUAGCUCUAAGAUCUGAUCGACAACGUAGGAUCAAUCAUGCUGAUGUAGGUCUAAAAAAAAAACUGCCCUUGUUGAAGUCUAAUUUGGCAACACCUAACCCGUGUGGGCUGUGGGCUCCAAGAAACUUCAAGUGUUGCCGUACAAUUAUUCCAAGAAAAAUGGGGACUAAUAACUGGCUCGCCCUAUGCAACGCAGGAUAAUACUACGUCACAGUCCAUUAAAAAAAACAAAGUUAUCGCGAACCUGCUCCUUUUCUUUUGAUUAUCCACAGGAGUCCCAAACAGGAAAAAUCACUCUCGUCGCCACAAACACAAAGGUUGUUUUCAGAAGAAGUCCGAUACGCUUGCUGUUGCUGUAGCUCUUUUGCUGAAUUAUUUGCAGGUGUAUAAAGCAGCCACGACUCUUGUCUUUUAUUUCCAUCAUUCUUUUUUUUUCCCGAGAACGAGUUCCAUGCUUCUGAUAACCCUUUUCAGAUGGCUUCGCGGGCUCUGAUGAAUCUGCUGACCUCUGAACCCAAUCAAGCAGCAGGCAAAACGUGGACCAGUUGUUUACUCUGAUGAGCAGCGCCAAAUCGAAUUGGUUUGCCUUUACACUAUCCGAUCGGAUCAUGCUUGGAUUGAGAAUAAAGUCCCGGCGACACACAAGUCACGCCCGGGAGUUUCAUAAAAAAAAAAAGUCACGUCCGGGAAUGGGAUUUGACUCUGCUUGACACAAGUCGCCAGGAUCCGGCCUCUUCGUCACCCACAGCAUCACAGAGACGCAAGGCGGCGGCCAGUCUGCGUGUGUGUCAAAACGGCAAACAUGAUGGUUGGUGAGCGUAGCGCGGUGGGUGCCGGCUGCGCCGCCACCGGCCGGGGUUUGACGUCCACUCCUUCGGCCACCGCGCCGGUGCAUCAUUUUUCCAUGAGAAAUGGCGUGAACUCCACGCGCGCGGUGGCCAACUGCUCGUGCACGCCGCUGCCCCCUGCCGGCCUGAAUGCCUGAGCCUGAUGCAUUGCACGCACCGGCACCGAGUCAGCAGCGGGACACGCCGGCCGGUAGAACUACUCCCCCACCCAUAUGGCCAUAUCCUCGGCGGGCCAGUGCGGGCGCACGCGUGCUCCGUAUCGGCAAUGCGCCGGCGACCCGGCGUCUCACACGGGGGGCCGAGAUGGGGAAGAAGCCGGUCAGGUUCCGUCGAACUCGAACAUGACGCGCGCGGCAAGUCAACUCGGUCGACAGGGAAGGGACCGUGAGGCCGGCCCACCACCUCCCCGGCGAGCGGGCCUAGAAGUAGACCUCACCGUGGCGAAUCGCGCCUACCGCUACCGGCAAAGCUCCAAGACAGGCAGGCAUGGCGACGGGGACACGCGCCACAGUGGCCGCCGUCGUGGGGUUGAUGAGCGCACAGGGACCAACGCUUUGCCCUGUUCCUGAAAGAAGAAGAAGCUACUACUCCUACGAGCUAGCAGUUCUGUGCGAGCAUAGUGCGCAUUCUUCCGAUUCUUGGUUCAGGAUACGCGUAGGAAAUACUAGCAGCCAAAAUCUUUUGCGUGCUAGCGUUUUCUCUCAACGUGCUUUUCAAGUAGGAUGAGCCGUCCGGUGUCACCCCCGAAUAAAGCGUCCAAUAAAGCAUGACCACGUCCCGUAUCCCUGGCCUGUCGAGCAUUCAUCCAGCAAAGGAGAUGGAUUGGGUAGGAAAAAUGAUGUCAGGAAAAUGAGAGGAUCGAUCGUUCUAGGCCCCUCAGGGCUCAGGGUCCAACUUUCUAAUUAGGCUUUUUUUAGCUUUUGCUAGCCCAGGCCCGGCUACGGUUAAUGGGUGUUCAAUCCAUCAUCUCAUUACCUCACCAACCUUUCCUCUGUCCAAAACCAUCAGUCAUUCCAACUUUUUAUCUGUCCAAAACCAUCAGCUCUUUCAUUUGUUUUCGUUUGUAUCACUGGAGCAGACAACCUUAUCUGCAAGGGAUGACUGAAUCAGAAUUCAGAAAGAGACGACUGCAAGCCAAUCCACGAUGCCAAUUGCUGGCUCUACAGAGACGACCUCUCAUCCCUCUACUCUACAACCUAGAAUUGCAAGCCAAUUGGCGCACUUCCACUUCAUGUUGAGUGCAUCGCUUUCCAACUGCUUGAAUCUGAGCAUCAAGGGAAUGUGAGGAGGAUACACGGAGACAGGCAGAUUUGCGAGAUGGAAACCUGACCAAGUGAUUGGAAAGGAAUGGCUCACUCACUUGCAGAGAUGGCGACGCUGAUGUUGGCAGGAAUUAAGCCCCACGAGUCUUCACACUCUCUCUCACAUUGGACAAAGGAAGACUACAGGGAACGUGGCAAACUGGUGAACUUAACAUUUUCCAUUGGGGCCCUUAGUCUUGAGGCCCAUGUAGCCAUAAAAUUAAGAUCAGAUUUGGACACGUUUACAAAGUCGAUCUAGAAGAAACGAAUAAAAAUAAAAAAUUAGGAAAUUCAGAUAGCGAGACAUUUUUACUUACGACAGAUAAUUGUGAAGUAACUUACUCUCACAAACACUCUACUGUUUCUACCUUCCUUUUAUUCUUCAUCAAUCUCACUCAUCACAUCUGGGCACAAAGUCUGCAAAUAAAGCAUAGUUUAGAAUUAUACUACACAAAAAUGCUAACACACAAACAAUAAGUAAAAAUGUAAAGAAAAUGCGUAUCAACCUUCAAGUCCUCAAGCUCUCCUUCACCCCCAAUUUGAUGAUCCAUGUUGUCAUUUUCCACAUAUAAUCCGAGACAAUCCAAAAAUACAGCAUCACUGAUGUCAGCCAUGUGAUAACUUUGACGCGAUGUAUCAUUAUCUUUCGCAAAGCAGUCCGUUAUUUCUCUCUGAAAAGAUUGUAUCAGGGAGCAAAGAUAUGAAUACACAACGAACUAAGUUCUACAAGCAACAAAAAAAAAACCCGAUUCCAUACCCAUUUAAAUGAUGACAUCAAUGGCAAGAUAGCUUCACGAUAAUCUAUAUGAGAAGCUUCUAGUAACUUAAUCCACAACCUCUGUAAUGAAUCAAGAGCCUUAUGAACCUACAAUAUAAAACACCAAGUCAAGUAUUAUCAAUAUGGUACUUGUAGUCAUCAUCAACAACAACGAACUCAAAGAAGAAAUGUAAAACUGAUAUCAUGACAUGAAGAAAACGCAACCUUAGCACCAGAUUUACGUUUAGGAAAUGUCUUCAGCUCCUUCUCUAAGCUCUUGAGGAUUACAGCUGCUUCUCUGCAUUUCUUUGUCCUCAUCUCCUGAACUGAAGAUGGUUCCGCUUUGUUGGAUAGAAGAAGCACAGACUCAAGCAGGUCUCCAGGGUCUCUAAAAAGAAGAGGUCAUGGUGAUUUAAAUCUUGACAAAGAGGCACACCAUCAAAGGGGCUAUAACCAUCACCAUAUGUUUUCACAUGGAAAUUGAGUUUUGGAUCCACAACUGAUUUCAAAUUCUUUGAAACCCCCUGAAAGUGCAUAAGGAGGAACUGUUGAAUGAGAUCCUGAGGCUUUGAGGCCCAACAACCAUUACAAUCAGAGUCAGAAAAAGGGCAUAUCCAUAAACUCCACGAAUUGAGUCUCUUUAACUGAAUCACAGCACCAGAGAUGGUAUCAACUGCUGGCUGGUUGCUACCUCUGUAAUAUUCAACCAACGUUUCAACCUUCACAUUCAGCAAAUUCUCCUGGUCAUCUUUUAUCUUCAAGGCCCAUUGCCUUUUUUUUUUUUGAAACGAGCCAGCAGGAGAGCUGCUGCUAUAUUGAUAAAGAGGGAAGGGCCCAUUGCCUUUGAGCAGCCAGUAGCUUGAGAACCCCAUAGAUUUCAUUCUUCGCAGCCAAUACCCUAGCAGAGUAGUCCUCGCCAGAGGAGGAUCCCAGAGGAAUGUCGUGGAGCUUUGGAUCCACGGGCUCCUCAAUGCAAAGUGCCCGGUUGCACUCCCUUUCGGCAGCUUCAUACUCGCCAAGCACAGCCAGUAGCUUCGCAUGGUAGAUUGCAAUUACCAGUGAGCUAGGAAAGGUGCUCGCGAUGGCACUUAGGCUAUCGACUGCCCACUCUACGACCUUCAUCUUCUUCUUGUCGCCCCGACUGAGGGUCCGGACCAUCCCGACUUCCAUGAAAACCGGGAGGAGCUGAGCGCGUGCUGAAAAUGGCAAACUCCGCCGCCGCCGCAGCUAAUGCGGAAUCAUCUCUCGAGGAUUCCAUCAGGGCGAGAACCUGUGCGAUCUCGUGAUCUUCCUUGCUGGCAUUGAUUUGGUGAAGCCGUUGUCGGAGUUCUUCCCCUGCAAUCUUGAGCCUGCCCCCGGCAAUCCUGAUCCGACCUCCCUUGUUUUUAUUCAGGCCAUCAUCAGCGGCGGCGGCAUUGUGCAGGAGGGGAUCGUCGGCGGCUUUGAUACUCAUGCCCCGCACGAACUCCAUCUCUGCGUCAGUGCGUCAGAGUACAGCUCGAGCUCCACCAGUGCCGUAACGUGGGCGGCGGCGGUGGCACGUGUUACACAUUUCAGAAACGAAUAAUGGGCCUAUGGGGUAGAAACGAGCCCAUGUAAGCCCACGCCAUGAGUCCGAACCUUCUGGGCUGCAAAACAGCCGCAGCUCGCAGCGGCUUCAAGGAAGCACAAGCGAACAGGCAUCCCAAGCAGCCAUGCUGCUGCUGAUGCCGCAACAAUCCGAAGGAGUCGCCGCCGACGGCUCGUCUGCUGCCCCUUCACAUCGGCGUCGGAGCUGAGCGUGGUGCCCGCCAUGAUUCGGCACCAGCUUUAGCGGCACCAACCGUUAGAUGCAUGCAGACACGCGCCACGAACGCAUCAUCAUUGAGACCUCGAAUUCGCACUCCAUGGCACCGCCACCACCACUCCUCCUCUUGGUUCCAGUAAUAACCCGGUCACGAGGAGACGCUACACGAUCGAGUUCCCGUGCCGGGGUCAAAAGGCAGAACGGAACCGGCCGGCAUGCACGCCCGAGUGUUGUGUCGCUCGCUCGAGAUGGAGUAUCACCUGCUGCUUGCUUUGGUAUGUGUCUCAUCAUAUCCAAGUGAGGCCUUGCUCUUCUGCUCUUCUGGCUUCUCUCUAAUCGCCUCGGAUUUAGAGGGUCCUGUGCUUAAUGAAGCUAACUAACCCACGAGUUUAAAAUCAACUGGGCUGUGGUUAGGCCCGCUCAUCACUCACUGCACGCACCUGAUUCUGAUUGCAACUGCAUCCGAUUAGAUUUGCAGGAGCAAUGCGAUGCCCAUGUUUGGUGACCUGCUGCUGAGGCUAGCUGAAGCGCAUGAUGAGCGGCGUGCGGGGCGCUUUAUUUGCCUAGCGUGACCGGAAUGUGGCACCCGAUGAUGCACGGGGCAGGAAGCAAACAAACGCCCGGGGUCCAGCACAGUGUUUCUUCAAAGGCAUCUCAUCCAACCUAGCUUGGAUCCCAAAAAAAUGUAACAAAAUUUUGGUUAGGCCCAUCCAAACCUCCUGUCAAAUCGUUUUGACAAUUGUUUUGGUGCAUCUCCAUCCCUUGUCUGAUGUGUCUCCUGUCUUUUUACUCUGCACUGCUAUUUUAAUCCAAGUACUGGCACACAGCGCAAGUCUGGGAGAUUUAGCGUUUUCUGACGUACCGUGGUCGCGUCUCUAUCUUGGCUUGCAGGUGCAAACAAACAGUGUCUCAGCUCUCAAGACAUUGAGCUGGAAGAACACUGUUAGGGUAGAACUCACUCCAAUUUACCUCAGCUCAUUCGAAAAACUGAACAGACCGUGCAGCUCCAUUUCCUUCACCUACCAGUCACCAAAUCAUGAGCUGAUUAGUGAUUACACAGUGGUUUGCCCCAAUUAGUACUGCCGGUAAUCGAACCAAACCCGACGCUGACCGCCUAGCGACCAGUAGCCGGAUACUAAUUUUCUGUUCAGUCAAAUCCAAUCGCUCGGGAUUAUAUUAACUGGAUCCCACCACGGAAGUGAUUAACACCAAUGCGCCAUCCCAUUUCCCCAGGCUCUUCUUAAGCCUCUCGCAGCUCCACACUAGCCGAGCUACAGAGCUAGUCACACGCGGUCACGCACGCUUGUCCUGCGCCGGCGCCGAGGGGGCAGGGCAUGAGAGCGACGGCACGGCGCGGCGCGGCCGGGGGCCUACCCUCGGCCAAGAAGAGGAGGAAGAAGAAGGCGCCCGCGCGCGGCUUCAUGUGCGGCUGCGGCGGCGACAAGUCGGUCGCCACCGUCCCCCGCGCCGCCGUCAGCAUUUCCGCUGUCACGACGACGACGCCGAUGAAAGCCGCCUCAUCGGCGGCGACCGCAGCGAAGGCGGCGGCGGCCGUGGCGGGCUGCCGCGACGCCGACGCCGACGGCGCGGACGCGAGCGCGGAGUGCACGCCCAGCGUGGAUUCGCUGCUGCAGCAGCUGCGCGAGCUGGAGCGCGGCGUGCGCGCGCUGGGCAUCCGGGAGCGGCACAACGACGGCGGUGGCGCGCCAAGAGCGACACAGCCGCGGCGGCACGGGCGGAGCGCGAGCGACCGGGGCGGCGGCGGGCGGCUGGACUCGGAGAGCGUUGCGGUGGUGACGGAGUCGGAGGACCCGCUGGGCGACUUUCGGCGGUCGAUGGUGCAGAUGAUCGUGGAGAACGGGAUCACCGGCGGCGCCGAGCUGCGGGAGCUGCUGCAGCGGUUCCUGUCGCUGAACGCGGCGUGCCACCACCACCUCAUCCUCCGCGCCUUCGCCGACGUCUGGGAGGAGCUCUUCGCCUCCGCCGGCGGCGUGCCACCACCACCUCCGCCGCCCGCAGAGAAGAUCUCGUACAGCAGUAGAGGUAGCAAACGUCCAGCAGCGCUGACACGUUAACCACGGCCCGUCCUGUAAGCUAAUUUCCGCCAUCCUCGGGAAUUGUUGCUGUCCGAAACACACAGUGUACGGCGUGUACAAGACUUGCACGCGUGACUUUCUGUGCCGUGACCAGAAAAUCCGAGCUCCAUUCCCGUGAGUUUCUUCCUGCGUUUCGUACAGAUCGCACGUAAAAAUUUCCGUGAUUUUUGCAUGGCGUCAAUGUCCAGUUGCGUGCUGCGCCGCCACUGAUUGACCAUACGCGUGGUACGCCCAAUGAAGGAGAUGGAGAUGGUAGAGGAGGGCGCGGAGGGAAUGCCGUGAUCUUCGCGAGGAUGCUCGUCGGUGGGAUGCAAAAGCGCGACAGGGACGAGACGACUCCAUACCAACCUGAAUCCCCUUUUGCCGAUCGUGACGAGCAGCAGGCGGCCCGGGGGUGAUGGCUACUGCGUCGGCGGCGGAGGGGAGCGCAGCCGGCGCAAAGAGAGACGUGCGCACGAAGCUCAGACUUGCUCGAUCGGUGGGACAUCGAUUCGCGGCAUAUUUGCCGGCGAUCUCAAGGAACAUUUUCUGGUCGUCUGACGUUGCCCUUCUCGAAGUCGCCGUGUGUGUCCGGGUUGGACGUGGAAUUCUGAAAGAUGCGUUUGAUGUAGAAUAUACGCGUGCACAUUCUAGCGGUCAAUAAAGAAUCACAUGGACGGAUGUGCCCAAAAGCUCCCAUGGCUUGGCUUCCGUGACUGGAAGUUGGAAGAUGCUGCACUGUUUAGUUGGAGAUCCAUGUACUGCGUUACUGAACGGUAGGUACAGGAAACCGGAUUAUAUUGGCAAGUUUCCGUUGACUUUGUUCUGGCUCCAUUCAUGGAAAUCGGUGGCAUUGUUUCACAAAAGAAGUUCCCAUGAGCUCACCGUGGCACUAGUAAAUUUUGUACGUCCUAGACUAACAUGAAAAAAAUGUUUCGUGCUGUUUCCAAAUGUUUAAAUUUCUCGUACCUUUUCUGUUCAAAUAACUGUAGACAUUUUUGUCUUAAUUUUGCGUAAAGUUGUGGGCUUCUUUCAAGUCACCACUUUUGCUCUGAAAGCCCAAUUAGUAACCAGGCCGGACACGUCGCGCAAGCCCAACACAAAACAGGCCAUCAGAUUCUCUCUGUUUGACAUUGACCCAAGCCCACGCACAUCAAGCAUCAACGGCUAAAUCAAACGGAUUUCGCAAACCCAAUGCCGCAGAGCGCACUCUAUCCCCUCGGCAAUGGCCACCGUCACGCCCCUAACCGCCUCCCCGCUCCGCGGCCACCUCCUCCACCACCGCCGCCGCGGCCGCCUCCACGCCAGGCACCAACCUCAGCCACAGCUCCGCUUAUCGGCCACCUGGCGGCUCUACUGCGUUCCGGACGGAGGCGGCGGCGAGGUCUCCGCCGCUCCCGCUCCACCAGCCGCCGAGGAGCAAGCGCCGGAAGAGCAGCCGCAUGACUUCAACCUCCUCGCUGCCAACCGCAGCGACUUCAACGAUAUCAUCAUGGUCAUUGACUCGCCCGCCGCGCGAUACCUCGUCCUGGACCAUAACAGUACGUACGGGUGGUUAAUUGAGUACUCAGUUGGACAGCCACAAAUUAAAUUUGGAUAGGUUUUCUGAUCAGUUGGAGCUCUGUGUUUGGUUGUGUUGUGCAGAGAAUGUCCACAGCAUUCUCCCCAAGACCACUGUUUGGACAAACUCCUACUGGGUAUGUACACUUGGCUAAUUAAUCAUCUAUAAACUGACUUGAAUAUUAAGACUUUUGGGCCACCAUUGGCGAAUAGAUUGCUCUAACGUUUUUUUACCUGACUUGUUACGAGCCCUUUAUAGACAUAAUAAUCUGAUACUUGAUUAUGUGGAUAUCUUCACGCAUUGGACAUUAAGCACUUGAUCAGAACAGUACUAAUAUUAUUGUUGAUACACUAGCAUCACCAAUUAUACAUGUAAAAACUUGUGAGAAAUUUUACAGUUUGUGCAUGUAAAAAACUAGUGAGGGAUUUCUCUAUGAACGAAUUUAUAUGUUUGUCUCAAAUUUUGGCUUGCGUCCUUUUUCUUUGCUGGAAUUGUUGCUGGAUGUUGAUGCUUAAUUAAUGUAUUUUUCCCUUGCAGGAUGAGUUUGUGAGCCUGCCGCCUGUUGUUCCACUCGGUCCUGUUGCACUCCUAGGUUUGGUAAAUCAUUUGAUCCAUGAAGACAAUUGCAACCUACUUUAGCUCUUAGUCAUACUUUAUAUUCUUCCUUCAGAGCUAUCGUGCAAUAGGAUAAAAUGCGUAUACUAGGGGGUUGGGAAAGAUAUUUCCGUUCUUCUGAUGAUGAUUCACCAUUUCUAACCAAAUAUACAUCACGUUCACCAUAAGGUCAAUAAGUGAUUUCUUUAGGCGAAACCAUGCCCAUCUGUUAUUUUUUCAUACUCGCUCUUCACACUCUUGCAAAACUCUAUCUUCAGUCUUCACACACUCUUCACUUUCCUUGGUUCUUUCAGGGUGCUGGGACUGCAGCACAUCUGAUGCUAAAGUUUUGGCCUUGGUUACAACUUGUUGGCUGGGAGAUUGAUCCUAUGGUGAGAACUCUUCUCAUUUGUCACUUUUUUUUGUGUAUUAAUAACAAAAUUUAUAGUUCCGAUAACUUGCCAAUUUCAAUCAUGUGAACAUAUGCUAGUGACUUCUCACAAGAACAUUAGUAAUCUAUCCUUUGUUAUAUAUGCUAAAAUUAUCUUACAGCCUUAUCUACUGUGCCUCAUGCAUAUGCUUUUGAUGUACCCAAUUUUGAUAUUGGAAAAGCUGAUCAUGUUUCAUGACAGAUAGUUGAAUUGUCAAGGCAAUAUUUUGGUAUGUCUGAUUUAGAGAAGCCCACAGAAUCUGGUGGUUCGCUUUCUGUGCGCAUUGGUGAUGCACUUUCUCCAUCAGCUACAGUUGAAGGAGGAUUUGCUGGUGAAUAACUAACCUGAUGCAAAUGUAAUACAUGUUUCAACACCUUACGUUCAAGUACAUAAUUUGAUAUCUGCAAUUAACUCCGAACUGCAGGAAUUGUUGUAGAUUUGUUUUGUGAUGGAAAGAUCAUUCCUCAGCUGCAAGAAGUAAAUAUCCUUUCCCAUCUCUGUUACUUAUUUUAUUAUUAUUUUGUAUCCCGUGAUAAUUCACAUAUUGAAUUUUUAGCUUUGAGUUAUCUUCAAUCCUAUCUAAUGAAUUUAUGAAUCAUGUAUAAGAAUGUGUAGCUCUGUUUUGGAUUAUCGACAAACUACCAUUUUUUUACUAGGUGCUGGCUUUAUUUCAAUCUUGAUACAGGUUGAAACUUGGUUGCAAAUUGCAAAAAAGCUAAUGCCCGGUGGUCGAAUUAUGGUUAAUUGUGGUGGAGCAGAUGUUGAAGAAUCUCUUUCAUCGUCCUGGGUUCAAAACCCUACAAUUAAAGCACUAUGUUCUGCAUUCCCCAGGCAGGUAAUAUGCAUUUGAUCAACCAUAUUCACUUUCACACUCCAAUUACUACUUGGUGAUAUAAUAUUUUAAAGAAGAAAUUUCUAAAUUAUUAUGUAAUUUGUGCUUGGUUUUCGUACGGAUAGCAUAUUUCCUCUCUAUCCAUUUUUUAAUACGGAUUAUCAUCUUCCAUCUGCAUUAAAUAUAAUGGACUACUUGUGAGUGAUGUCUUAUUAAAUUUUACGGGUAACCAUGUGAUUUUUGAAUAUCCAUUUUGUGAAAGUCAAAGUGUUUUGAACAUUAUGUAGUAAUUUGAAAAUAUAGAAACUAUAGUAUAUACUGUAUAGGCUUGCACAAUUAUAGAAUUAUUAGCAUUGGAUGCUAGUUUUCCUUCCUCCUGUUUUGGUCGAUUAUCCUUAUGGGGCACCGUUAUGUCACUAGCUUGCUCAAGAUUGUUUUCCUGAAAUGAGAUGAUGGUGUAUUUGCAGCUAAACUGGAAGAGGCUAUCGGAGAAAGAGAGUGUAAACUAUGUGGCACUGACGGGUCCUCUUCCAGACUUGGAUGAGUGGUCUGCCUCAGUUCCUAGCGAGCUAAGCACGAAAGUGAAACAAUGGGUGCCUUGCGAGCUUGCGUGAUGCCGGGCAUUUUCUUUUGUUCUAGUUGCACCUAAUUUGCUUCAGCAACUUGUCCAUGACCUCUGUGGCUCUCUCCAUGCUCCUUUAAUUUCUGGUGAGUAAGCUCAGCUGUCGGUGGGUGCCAUCCACAGUACUUCACUUCUGGAUCUACUAGCUUCACCAUGCGCGCCAUCGGGCACACUGAAACUCUUGUUGCUCUCGUCUUUUUUUUUUUACUUAAGGUGUAUUUAUGGCGUCAUCUGCAUCUGAAGCAAAUGCUGAAUCCAGAUGCUCUAUGGGGAUACCAGUGGAACAGGUAAGUAUGGACUCAAGGCAAUUGUUUAGAGAAUCUGGAUAGUACUUAUCUCAGGGCAAUUGUCGAGAGAAGGCAUGCCAGGACAAAUUUUGCAGCAGAAGAUUGUACAUUGGAGCCCACACUGCAGGACAAUUUUGUCAUUAGCAUUCAUGCGUGCCUUUGUUGUGUGGCAAAGUGACAAUUUUCAUUUGUGUGAACAGCUGUCCAGUAGCAUUCACUGACAAUGACUGUCCGUUAGCAUCAACACUGAUGGCUACAUGUUAUUGGUUCUCUGAUGUUGCUGUGGAUGAGCUGAACCAAAAUUUGACAUACAUACAUGUACUGAUGUACCCAGCGUUCAUCAGGUGAGCUUCCAGUUGCCGGGUUAACAUCUUUCUGAUGUCAUGUUGCUAUCGUCUUACCAAGAUGAAAAAAAGUCAGUUCCGCGAUGGAGCCUCUGACCCAACACACUGCCAUUUCUGCUUCAAGCUCCUAGCUCCCCCACCAUCUCUGUCCUGCUGGAGGCUUGGCCUGUAUCUCCCUCUGCCUCCGUCGCCGGAAUGCGCUCGACGUCUCCGCAAAAUCGCAAAUCGUCUCUUGGUUGUGCUUCAAGCAAAUCGCAAAUGGCCGGUGAGCUGCCUGGUCCCUGCCAUUGCCAGCGCCCGGCGGGCACCGGCAGCCAGGUCUCGGCGUCUCGCACGGUCACGGAGCACGAUGCUAACCGCUGACGAAUGUUCCGUGAAGAAUGUCACCGGCUCACCGGGACAGUUGAGCCGAGCGGUAACUACCGUGCACCGCAUCACGAGAGGCACGAGCGCAACCUCGGAACGCUACAAGAUCUGACGGCGGCGACGCUCCCCUCGUGACCACCCCCCGUGGGGCUACCACUCUGACACCCGCAGUCCUCUCCUCCCCCCAAAGCAAAGCCAAGCAAAGGCAAAGCCCCCGUCCGGCGCCGGAAGUCCUGGACCAAAACCCGCCACAGCCUUGGCCCCGCCCCGCUCCCGAUCCGGCCGCCCCAAGCCGAGCCAGCCAGGAUGGCCCAUUCGCCGGCGCCCAGCGGCGGCGGGGGGCAGCAGCCGCUGGUCGUCUCGCUCAACUGCCUCGACGACCCCUCGCUGGAGCAGGAGGGCCUGGCCGGCGUGGCCGCGGUCGAGCACGUGCCCCUCUCCGCCGUCGCCUCGGGCCGCGUCGAGGCCGCCGCCGCCGUGCUCCUCCCCUCCCUCGCCUUCCUCCCGCGCGCCGCCCAGCGCCGCCUGCGGCCCUGGCAGCUCCUGCUCUGCCUCGGCUCCGCGGACCGCGCCGCCGACGCCGCCCUCGCCGCCGACCUCGGCCUCCGCCUCGUCCACGUCGACGCCAACCGCGCCGAGGAGGUCGCCGACACCGUCAUGGCGCUCAUCCUCGGCCUGCUCCGCCGGACGCACCUGCUCUCGCGCCAGGCCUCCUCGGCCCCGGCCGCGGUCGCCGCCGGAUGGCUCGGCUCCGUCCAGCCGAUGUGCCGCGGCAUGCGGCGAUGCCGCGGCCUCGUGCUGGGCAUCAUUGGCCGGUCCGCCGCCGCCCGCUGCCUCGCGACGCGCAGCCUCGCAUUUCGGAUGAGCGUGCUCUACUUCGAUCCGCGCUAUGUGGUAACGGAUCUGGAACUUCCUACGCUUCUAUUGGUUGAUCCGCCUAUUAGUUUCUAUUAUUAAAGAAUUGCACGGUUCUAAAACUUUACCCUCAUGCUUGCAUUGCUGGUUUAGGUAAUUUCGACUGUUUUUUUUGCUCGAUGUUAUCUGCUGCCAGUGUCUCACAAGUGAAAGUGGGUAGUGUUUUAUGCUAAAAUGAGUUAGUUUGUGAUCAUUAGUUUCUGAACUUGUAAAAGGAAUUUUGUAUCUGAUACUGAAUUGGCAUGAUCUCAUCUCACCCUUAGUUAAUUUGGAGGGGAUUGCUGUAUAGGCUAUGUACUUUUGAGUGCUAGAUUGCUACUGACUAGUAUAUCUUUUCUUUUCUUUGGAUAACGAAGUUUUGUGAACAGCAGUAACAUAUGAUAAAAGCAACACUAAUCAUAUGGCAGACAAGGAAUCGUCUUUGUUAGUUUUUGCUUUAGUAUAAUGCAUGAAGUAGCCAAGUAGGGGAUGGCAGCAUGAGAAUUAACCUAAAGUAAUUCUGCGAGUUACAAUAAAUAUCAUUCAUCAAAUGCAAUCUGGUUGUGUUACAUUAUUGAUAUGAUCACCAAGUUCGUAACUUAAUAUUCUCAGCCUAUUCCUCAUGAUACAGAACCAUGAUAUUUAGGCUACUCUUUAACUCACUUUUGAACUGAACAGGAUGUCGUAUGUUAAAAAUACUGCUUUGAAUAUUCUGACAUUUUGCACAUCUGUUUAGGCCAAUGGGGAAACAAAGAGGCCUUCUAUUGUGUUUCCUUCUGCAGCGAGGAGAAUGGAUACUCUCAACGAUUUAUUAGCAGCAAGUGACCUUGUUUCACUGCAUUGUGCGUUAACGAAUGACACCAUGCAUAUACUUAACGCAGACUGUCUGCAGCACAUAAAACCUGGUAAGAUUAUUCUUUUUAAAUUAAUUGCAUUAACAGAUCUCCGUGAUGUCUGAAGUAGUGCAUAUCCUAUCUUGAAUAUAGUUGUAUGACAUCAUAUCAUUGAAUGUUUUGAAUCCUGCAGGAGCUUUCAUUGUCAAUACUGGUAGUUGCCAGCUUAUAGAUGACUGUGCACUCAAACAGCUCUUGAUUGAUGGUACCAUAGCUGGUUGCGCAUUGGAUGGUGCUGAAGGUCCACAGUGGAUGGAAGCAUGGGUAUGCAAAUUAGAAGCAGAAUAUUGAAUAAUGUUUGUAAAUGGUCAUUUAGGACGAAUAAGUUUAUCUAAAAUCAAACUGUUCGUCAUUUGUGAUAAUAAAUUUUACCUGAUGUUUCUAUAACUAAGGUCCUCUCUGAAGCUAGAUAAAUGUUUCAUUAUUUGAAUGAGAUUAUACUCCUAGUAAUAUCUGCUUAUCAUUUCAGAGUUAAAAUUCUCAGUUGAGAUAUAAUGUAAAGUGGUAUUGUAAUUGGGAACUUGCUUUAUGUGCUACAGUUGGCCUUCUCUGUUCAAUUGGCUAAUAGUUAUGUUCUUGCAGAUAAGAACAAAUAGCCGGUGUCCUUUUUGCACUGGUAUGGUUGCAUUACAUUUUGUUCUGCAAAGUGAUGGCUAAUCCUUAUUGUUUACAGGUGAGGGAGAUGCCAAAUGUUUUAAUUCUUCCACGGAGUGCAGAUUACAGCGAAGAAGUGUGGAUGGAAAUAAGAGAGAAAGCAAUCACUAUGUUACAGUCCUUUUUCUUUGAUGGUAUUCUUCCAACUAGUGCAAUUUCUGAUGAAGAUGAUGAAAUAAGUGAAGCUGGAAAUGAAGAUGAUCAUCUAGACACACAGGCAAAAGAUAGCCAGUCACAGAUUUUUGAUGCUGAAAUAGAUGAAAGCCACUUAACUCUGGAGUAUGAAAAGAAAAGAGCCGUGUCCCACCAUAAAGAGCCUCAGGCUUCUGGAAAAUCUGUAAACAUUGGCUCCCGAUCUGAAGGAAGGCGUAGUCGAUCAGGAAAGAAAGGAAAAAAGAGGCCUGCUCAUCGCAGAUCUCAGCAGAAACCUGAUGACUUGUCUGCUGUAGAGAGUGAUAGUAAUUAUUCCUCACGGAGAGAUGAUGACACUGCAAUGAGUAGCAGGGACCAGGUUGUAAGUUCCAGUUCACGAUUUGCCUCUCCUGAGGACUCAAAAUACAAGCAGAAAUCUCUUGUUGAUUCACCAAUGGAAAUAACAUCUGAAAAGAAGGUGCCUAUACUGCUCAGUAGAAAAUAUCCUGAUAAACUGAAAGAUGGUUUUGUUGUUGCAUUGAGAGCAAGAGAUAAUUCAGGGUACCAUGUUGCGAGACAGAGAGUAGUUGGUGGUGGUGGCUGGAUUCUUGAUGUUGUGUCAAAUGCUACAAACAGAGAUCCUGCUGCUCAGUUCCUAGUUACUUUCAAAAACAAGGUAUGUUUAUAACAACCACCCUCCUCUUCCAUUUUCAUGCGUGCUUUGGUUUUAUGCACAUGCAGGCCCUGAUAAGGCACGUACUUUUCAGGAUACUAUGGGGCUACGAUCCUUUGUUGCUGGUGGUAAACUACUGCAGGUACAUCUCUCCGACUCUAUGGCCAGACCUUCACGCACUACCUGACCUGACCCGCCCGGAAAUAGUUUGAUGAGACCUGACUUGCCCUGCCUGAAAAUAGCUUGAUUGGACCUGACUCGACCAGUGCAUUGGGUAGGCUUGGGCCAAGAUUUUCGCCCUGUUAUGAAAUCUGAAAAUACUGUAGACCCAACCCGGCCUGACCAAUAACUGGAUCAGGACCGAAUCUGAUUUUUGCAGCCUGCUGUUGGUCCUGGGCCCGACUAGGCCCACAAAACGUCAUUUUUUUAGUUCGAGUGUUCGACCCGAACCCGACCUGGCCCAUUCUAUGACCAGGUCUAUCUAUGGCUACUUGACUAGUAGUCUACUAAUUAUAUGUUGCUAUGAGAAGUUUAGGACAGAAAUCGUGACACUAGUAGCUGAGCUGAUAUUACACAAUCUGAUGAUGUCUCUUAACAUGAACUAUAAUUAUGAAAAACCUUACAUAACUCAGUUAAAAGAUUUUUUGUAUGUAAGUUGACAUCCACAUGUGUAUGAACUGUCUAGAGCACAUGCAUCACACCUAAUUUGUUGACCCACUACCUACUUAAUGGCCACAUUUUAAUUUUGAUGUCGACCUGUUUGCUGCUUCUGUCAGUGUUGCCUUUCUAACACGAACACACACAAGUUUGUGCCUUGGAAAUUUGGAAUCCUCUACUAUAUACAAUAUGCGUUUACGUUACCAGCUUUAAAGUAGAGGGCUGAUUGCUGUAAGCCAGUAAUGUGGAAAGAGGGUCUGCCUCCUGCCAGUACCAUUUUUCUACUUUCCUUUCCCAGCCCUUUGUUUUAAUUAAUAUCAUUCUGUAGUGUCAGAAUAGAUUCUGUGGGAGCUAGUCAAAAAGUUUGAGAAAUAGAGGCAACCUUCUGGCUUGUUUUUGAUGCUUACGUCUGCUGAUGUUCUUAUGAAGAUUUUAUUUCAAUACAUUAACAGAUUAAUAGGAAGACGGAGUUUGUAUUUGCAAGCCAUUCUUUCGAUGUUUGGGAAAGCUGGAUGCUGGAUGGUUCUUUGCUGGAGAGUUGUAAGCUUAUCAACUGCAGAAAUCCAUCGGUAAGCACCCUCCUAAUUGGUGCUAUAAAUAAGAAAAACUAAGAUGUAGCGGUAUCGGUUCUUAAUAGAAAUAGACUGUAGUAAACCUGAAAACCUGGGAUGUCGUAAAUUGUUAAUACUCGUCUCCCAACUGAUUGUUUUUUCCCCCUUUCUGUAGGCUGUUCUGGACGUGUGCAUUGAGAUCCUUGCAGCUGCAAGUGAAGAAGAUGGAGUCACUCGGUGGCUUGAUUAGCCACGCUGGCCGCUGGGGGCUGCAAAAAUGAACUGACUGAUCAUUACUGUUUGGUUCUGCUUGCUUCCGGUUUUUUCUUUCUGCUCAAAUUUUGGUUUCUCUGAUACAGGAACCCCUGUAGCUGUAGGCACAUCAUGUGCACAUCACGUUUGUUAGUACUGUCGUUAUUGUCGUGUAGCCAUCCUCGUGCCACACGCUUCUGGCGAUGCAAGACUGCAUAUCGUGUUAGUAAUAGGAGUACACAUGCACAAGCGUGGUUGAUGCUGACUUAGAGCGUACAGGUAAACUGCUGAAGGCAGCCGCUGCUGCAUUUUAACAAGGAAAUUUUGACACGAGACAAAUGGUCUCCCUGGUAGGCUGACGCUGCACGGUUCGCUGAACGCCGGCCAAAUCCCGGCAACCUAUAUGUGCAGGGCAAGCCGCCGGACGCCGGGCAAUUACCGGCAUCCUAUAAUUCUCCGACCACAAGUCCUAUGAUUUUUCUGCAGAGAUGGAUUUAUACACCCACCAACCCCGCUAGGCCGCGCUUUCAUCUGUAGAAAAAUUGACUACGGCUGUGGUGUCCUUUCAGGCAGACUUCACUAACAUUGUCCAUGUUCUUACCGUGAGAGAUAAAAUUUUGCAGGUUUUAGAGCUUCUUCAUCCAACGGCAGGUUCACUUGCACGCCCAUAAUUCAUCUGUACUGCACGAUGCAUUUUCUUGGCUUCUUCUGAGUUUCCAAUCAUCUGGCUGGGGUCGUUUGAAUAGGACCUUUGAUCCCAAAACGGCUUCGGAUUUUAGAAAACACUAGCAGUAUGCUCGUGCGUUGCAACGAAAAAAAACAUCGCGCAACUUGUCGGGGGGAAAUAUCAACGGUCCCCUAAUACGCAGCUUAAGGAAACAAACCUGAAGGCCCGGGCCCACCAAAAUGUGAUCAAGUCCCCGCCUCGUUCGACCCCAGCAUCAGGACCGGGAGCACCCGACCCCCCUCCGCAGGGUUUCCGCCUCGACCGACCGCGCCCCCAGGGUCGGGAGCCCCCGACCCUGUACCACAAAGGUUCCGCCUCGCCCGACCCCGAGCGAAGGAGUCGGGCACGUUGAGGCCCACGGGUCAGAGUCCUCCUCGGAUACGUUCCGCGUAGACAGGACAAAUCCGGUGGGGCCCCCCGUCGGCCUCACCAUAAAUGCGCCGCAGAGAAGGCAGAGCACAGGGCGACCGCGCCCCCCACGCGACCCGGCGCAAGUACCCGCGCACAACCAUCCUGUGCGAGCUACAGUACUGGCGGCCAGCCCCCAUUCGUCACGAAGUACUCAUGAUCUGCGGCGACCGGAGCAGAGCAAGGGGCAGCCCCGUCCUCGGGUCCCGCACGCCCUCGGGCCCCGCGCAAGUGGCAAAACAGGCGUGAAGCUUCCCCUCUCUACAAGCCAUCGUCAGAGCGGCGGUAUCCACCGUCCUCCCUAACGGACGGCAAGGUGACGACGAAACCCCCUCAUCAUGAUCUAUCCUGAUACCUACGAACGUCGAAGUAGCUACCUGCGAGGAGCUGCUGCACUUGGCAUCCGGCGGCGACUCCUUCGAGCAUGCACGACGGCACGCGUUCAGGGUCGGCAGGACGUCGAGCGCCAUGGGCCCCUGCCCUCCUUCCCGCCAGACCUUUUUACCACCUUACUCUUUACCUUUUACCCGAUUCCCAAUUGUAACUCCGGCCAGCCCCUUGCGAUAUAAAAGGCGGAACCCAGAGCCGGAGAGGAGGAGGGAUCGGCAUCUCGAGAGAUCAACACUCCACCUAGAACAGAAGAGACCUGGGUCCAAUCCCUCUCUCGCCCGUCUGUAACCCCCUACUACAGAACCCCUGCGCAGGCAACACGAGUAUCCUCGAUACUGGACGUAGGGCUCCCUUUGCCCGAACCAGUCUAAUCCGUGUCUCCCGUGCAACCAUCUGAGGCUUACGCGCAUAAAAGAAAUUCACUAGUCUAAGUCCUAAUCCGCUGAUCUUGACAACGACAGUUGGCGCGCCAGGUAGGGGACCUUUGCGCGUACAUCACCAAGCCUCAGAUGGCCAAUCGCGAUCGCGGUUUCGCUCCGGGCUCCCUGAUCCGCUUCGGGAGCCUGGACUUUCUGGCCACCGGGAACGGGAUCGAGCUGAUCCCUGUCCACGUCCUGCCCACUCGUCCUGCUGCCCUCGGCACCACCGCCAGGACGACGACGACGAGAGGCCGGACACCAGCCGGAAGGGCCUCACCAGAAGGAUGGCUCUUCGGGCUACGCAACGCCGCGGGGGCCCAUGGCCGCCUCCUAACGCGGUCCCUCGCCACGUCACCCGCGAGCAACGAGCUCGUAGGCGUGGCAAGGACAGCCUCCGACACUAGCUCUAGUGACGAGAAUCCUGACCCCUCGCGCGAGUGCUUCAUGGCUGACGCACACUCCGAGGGGUCCAACGGCGAUGGUGCCGAGGGGAGGCAACGGCCUCCCCCCUCGCGCGCCGCAGCUACGACUGGGGCCCUACCCAGGGCGCCAGAGGGCUCUCUACUGCCGGAAGAGCACAUGGGCGCACGCCGAGAAGUAGAGCACCCCCACCACGAGGGGGGAGCACGACAACGAGCGCGCGACGUCCAGGAACGCAUCUGCGCGGAUGGAGAGCGUCCACCGCUCUUUGCCCGCGCCAGCCAGAACGUCGCCGCUGCGGCGGUGCUGCUCCGACAGCUCCCCGAGCCGGCAACGCCUGAGGAGCGACGGGCGCGCCAAGAGAUGCGUAACCUACUCGAGUGCGCCGCCAUCCAGCAGGCGGAAAGUUCGGCGUCUCGACGACGCGACCAGAACGCCAGUAGGGCAACGCAGGACGCCCCCCCGGAGCGGCGGGGGGAAUCUGUCCAUCAACCCCCUCCGGAGGCGAAUCCAGCUGCGACCGCCCAGCGAGCACCGCCACUCGCGAUGGGCGAGGCCCGAUCCAUCCACCAGCGCGUCGGUCCCAUUCGCGACGCCCGCGACACACUGAACGCGCGGAGACGUUCCCGCGCGGACAGGGCGGACGGGGCGGACCGUGUUUACCACGUCCACCGUGGUGGACGCUAUGACAGUGGGGAGGACCGCAGUCCGAGCCCUGGAGCAGCUGGACCUCGAGCUUUCUCUGCGCGCAUCCUGAAUGCGCCCUUCCCGCCGCGCUUCCGGCAACCUACGAGCUUGGCCAAAUACUCGGGGGAGACCAACCCUGGAGUAUGGCUCAGCGAUUACCGACUCGCCUGCCAGGCCGGCGGGGCGGACGAUGACCUGUUCAUCAUCCGCAACUUACCUCUGUUUCUGGCAGACUCCACGAGAGCCUGGCUAGAGCACAUCCCUUCAGGACGCAUUCGUAACUGGAACGACCUGAAGGAGGUUUUCGUAGGAAACUUCCAAGGGACGUACACUCGCCCUGGCAACUCCUGGGACCUCCGGAGCUGCCGCCAGGGGGCGGAAGAAUCCCUCCGGGACUAUAUCCGGUGCUUCUCCAGAAAGCGCACCGAGCUCUCCAACGUCGCCGACGCCGACGUCAUAGGAGCUUUCCUAGCAGGGACCUCAUGCCGGCCCCUCGUCCACGAACUAGGGCGCCGAGGUCCACGAACCACGGAGGAGCUCCUCAACAUCGCCACCAGCUAUGCCUCCGGCGAAGAGGCUGUCGGAGCGAUCUUUGAUCGUUCCAAAGGCAAGGCAAAGCGGGAGGAGGACGCCGGCGAAGGCACCUCCAACCGCCAGCAACAGAAGAAGAAGAGCAAGCAGCGGCGCGAGGCCCCCCCUCGUGGCCGCAGUCGAACGAAAGCGAGGGCAGCCGCCCCCCGAGGGCACACCCGGCUUCUUCGACAAGCUGCUCGAGGGACCGUGCCCGAACCACGAGUUCCCCGUCAAACACGCCUACAAAGACUGCAACCUCAUGAAGAGGUUCUUCGUGGGCAACCCGGUGAAGGGCGAUUGGAAACGGAAGCCCGAUGAGGAAAAGAAGGGCGACGAGGAGAAGGAAGACGGCUUUCCUAAAGUGGACGGCUGCUUUAUGAUCUUCGGGGGCCCCGCUGCGUACGACACCAGGCGCCAGCACAAGCUAGAGCGUCGGGAGGUUUACGCCGCCGAGCCGGCGACCCCGACUUUCCUGGAUUGGUCCGCGCCGGCCAUCACCUUCGACAGAUCCGACCACCCUGGACGCGUCCGGCAUCCAGGGCGCUAUCCUCUCGUCGUCGACCCCAUCAUUGGCACGACGCGUCUUACCAAGGUACUCAUGGAUGGGGGAAGCGGCCUCAACCUCCUCUACGCUGAAACCCUCGACGCCAUGGGGAUCGACCGCUCCCGUCUCCGUCCUAGCAAGGCCCCCUAUCAUGGCGUUGUGCUAGGGAAGCAGGCGACGCCCCUCGAGCAGAUCGACCUGCCCGUCACGUUUGGGACCCCUUCCAAUUACAGGAAGGAGGUCCUCACCUUCGAGGUGGUGGGCUUUCGCGGAACCUACCACGCCAUCCUGGGCCGCCCAUGCUACGCAAAGUUCAUGGCAAUCCCCAACUACACCUACCUCAAGCUCAAGCUGCCGGGGCCCAAUGGAGUCAUCACCGUCGGCACGACCUUCCAGAAGGCAUACGAGUGCGACGUCGAGUGCUGCGAGUACGCGGCUAUCACCGUCUCGGGCGACAUGGUGGCCCAGCUUGAGGAAACCGUUGAGGACCGGUCCGACGCCAAGCAGUCAGAAAUCCCCUUCAAGCCCACCGAAGGUAUCAAAGAAGUCCCCCUCAAUCCCGGUUGUUCCAGCGCAGGGGUGGUGCGAAUCAGCGCGGCCCUAUCUCCCAAAUAGGAAAGCGCGCUCGUCGGCUUCCUCCGCGCAAACAACGAUGUCUUUGCGUGGAAGCCCUCGGACAUGCCAGGCAUCCCGAGAGAAGUCGCCGAGCAUUCCCUGAACAUCAGGGCCGGCUCUAAACCGGUGAAGCAGGGCUUGCGCCGUUUCGACGAAGAAAGGCGCAGGGCCAUUGGCGAAGAACUCGAAAAGCUCCUGGUGGCUGGCUUCAUCAAGGAAGUACACCACCCCGAGUGGUUGGCCAAUCCUGUUCUUGUACCGAAAAAGAAUGGGAAAUGGAGAAUGUGUGUCGAUUAUACUGGUCUCAACAAAGCGUGUCCAAAGGAUCCGUUCCCUUUGCCGCGUAUAGACCAAAUAGUCGACUCGACAGCCGGGUGCGAAACACUCAGCUUCCUCGAUGCAUACUCCGGCUACCACCAAAUCGCGAUGAAGGAGGCCGACCAGCUCGCCACCUCCUUCAUCACCCCCUUCGGCCCCUACUGCUACGUCAAGAUGCCAUUCGGCCUCAAAAACGCGGGGGCUACCUUCCAGCGAUGUAUGCUUAAGUGCUUUGGAGAUCUCGUCGGGCGAACCGUUGAGGCUUAUGUUGACGACAUCGUGGUCAAAUCCAGGAAGAGCGAUCAGCUUGUUCCCGACCUGGAGUUAGCCUUCGAAAGGCUAAGGGAUAAGCAUAUCAAGCUUAACCCAGAAAAAUGCGUGUUCGGUGUCCCAAGGGGCAUGCUGCUAGGCUUCAUCGUCUCCGUACGUGGCAUCGAGGCGAACCCGGAGAAGAUAGCGGCCAUCAGCGGCAUGGGGCCGAUCCGGAACAUGAAGGGAGUGCAACGCGUCAUGGGAUGCUUAGCAUCCCUAAGUCGCUUCAUCUCGCGCCUCGGUGAGCGAGGACUCCCCCUCUAUAGGCUCCUGAAGAAAUCCGACCGCUUCGAGUGGACCAGCGAGGCGCAGGAGGCGCUUGACCGGCUCAAGGACCUCCUGACAAAGGCCCCGAUCCUGGUUCCGCCGGCCGACGGUGAGACCCUCUUACUCUACGUCGCGGCAACCACCCAGGUGGUCAGCGCGGCCCUAGUGGCGGAGCGGGAGGAGGAGGGGCACGCUCUUAAGGUGCAACGCCCGGUGUACUUCAUCAGCGAGGUGUUGUCCGAAUCCAAGUCACGAUACCCGCAGAUCCAGAAGCUGGUCUACGCCAUCCUCAUCACGAAGAGGAAGCUGCGUCACUACUUCACCUCCCACCCGGUAACGGUUGUUUCCUCAUUCCCGCUUGGUGAAGUAAUCCGGAACCCGAAUGUGACAGGAAGGAUCGCGAAGUGGGCGCUCGAGCUAUUGGAUCAGGGUAUUACCUACGUCCCCCGCACCGCCAUUAAGUCCCAGGUACUCGCCGAUUUCGUGGCCGAGUGGACAGAGGUACAAGCCCCAGCGGCGAUAGAAAAGCAGGAGUACUGGACGAUGUACUUCGACGGGUCGCUAAUGAGGGCCCGCGCCGGAGCAGGCCUCGUCUUCGUCUCCCCACUGGGCGUGCGCAUCAGGUACAUGAUUCGCCUCCAUUUUCCUGCAUCCAACAAUGUCGCUGAGUAUGAAGCCCUUCUCAACGGGCUUCGCAUCGCCAUCGAGCUGGGCAUCCGUCGACUGGACGUCCGAGGCGAUUCCCAGUUGGUCGUCGAACAAGUCAUGAAAGAGUGGAGCUGCCAUGACCCAAAGAUGGCCGCCUACUGCAACGAGGUACGUAAGCUCGAGGACAAGUUCGACGGGCUGGAGCUCAAUCACGUCGCAAGGCGCUUCAACGAAGUCGCCGACGAGCUCGCUAAGGCGGCGUCUGGCCGGACGCCCGCCCCCGACGGCGUCUUCGUUAGCAACCAGCUGAAGCCUUCGAUCCGCUACCCGGAGCCAGCAGGGGUCGGCGGGGCAUACCCAGCCUCGGGGUCGGGAUCCGGGUCAGGGGAGGUCGGCAAUACGCCACCUAUCCGCGACCCAAACACCAAUCCCGAGGGAAACAACGCCGUCCCGCCCGACCCGGCCGCGGAAGCCAAGCCCUCCGACCCCACGGUUAUGGAAAUCGAGGCGGGUCCCGCGGCGGGGGCCGACCCCCCGACCGAUUGGAGAGCCCCGUACCUCGAGUACCUUAUCCGAGACGCGCUCCCAACUGACAAGACCGAAGCCCGCAGGAUCACGCGCCGAGCGAAAUCCUUCGCCAUCAUCAACCAAGAGCUUUACAAGCGAAGCCAUACGGGGAUCCUCCAGCGCUGCAUCCCGAUCGAGCAGGGAAGGGCGCUGAUCCAGGACAUCCACGCCGGGGCCUGCGGUCACCACGCUGCGCCAAGGACGCUGAUAGGCAAUGCUUUCCGGCAAGGUUUCUACUGGCCAACCGCGGUCGCGGAUGCUACCCAGGUAGUCCGCACUUGCGAAGGAUGCCAAUUCUUUGCCCGCCAAACCCAUCUGCCCGCACACGCGUUGCAAACCAUCCCCAUCACGUGGCCGUUCGCGGUCUGGGGGUUGGAUCUUGUUGGACCCUUCAAAAGGGCGCCCGGGGGCUUCACCCACCUACUCGUCGCUGUCGACAAGUUUUCCAAAUGGAUCGAAGCAAGGCCUGUGGCGCAGAUCAAAUCCGAGCAGGCGGUACAAUUCUUCACCGACAUCAUCCACCGCUUCGGGAUCCCGAACUCCAUCAUAACCGACAAUGGUACGCAGUUCACCGGAAAGAGAUUCCUCCAGUUCUGCGACGACCACCACAUUCGAGUGGAUUGGGCGGCAGUUGCGCACCCCCGCACGAACGGGCAAGUCGAACGAGCCAAUGGCAUGAUACUCCAGGGUCUCAAGCCACGGAUCUUCGACCGCCUUAAAAAGUUCGGCGGACGAUGGGUGGCGGAACUCCCAGCAGUCCUCUGGAGCCUGAGGACGACCCCCCAGCCGGGCAACGGGAUUCACCCCGUUCUUCAUGGUUUAUGGGUCCGAGGCCAUCCUGCCCACCGAUCUGGAGUUCGGAUCACCAAGGGUAAAAGCAUACGACGAACAGGGAAACCAGGCGUCGCUCAAGGACGCACAAGACCAACUCGACGAGGCGCGAGACGUGGCCCUCCUGCAUUCGGCUAAGUACCAGCAGGCCCUACGGCGUUACCACAGCCGCAGGAUACAAGGUCGUGCCUUCAACGUUGGAGAUCUAGUGCUCCGCCUCGUCCAAGACAACAGGGGUCGGCACAAGUUGACUCCCCCUUGGGAAGGCCCGUUCAUCAUCGCACAGGUGCUACGGCCAGGCACCUACAAGCUGGCAACUCCCGACGGGCGAAUCUUCAGCAACGCCUGGAACAUACAACAGCUAAGACGCUUCUAUCCAUAGCUCUUGUUCAUAAUUUAUACAUAGCUUUGCCCCCGUUUUCGUUUAAGCUCAGGGGUAUCCGACCCUGGCCUCGUCCCAAGGUCGCAUACCCCUCGGGGGCUACCAGUUUUGUUCUUCUGCUAAAAAGAAACCCUGAGCCACCUUGGCUCAGGCCUUUUCGUUUAAGCUCAGGGGCAUACCCCUCGGGGGCUACCGGUUUUGACCUUCACGAAACAAGAAGGUUUUUUCUUUUAAGCUCAGGGGUAUCCGAUCCUGGCCUGGCCCCAGGAUCAAACACCCCUCGGGGGCUAUCGGGGGCUCCGACCCCAGCCGCUGGGCACCGCUAAAAAGAAAACGUUUUUUCUUCUUUCAGAAAACCGGCCACUCCCUUUCGAAAAACCUUUGGCUACAGAAAGAUAAGGAUGCGUGAACGGUACUCAGCCAAGUUGCGAUCGGACUGCGAGAAGCCUACGCCCCAGCGGCUACGGUACCUUCGCUCAUCAAAAACUUACUGACGCACCCGGCAACGCAUCCAAACGCUUUCAAAAAACCAAAGGAAUAACAAAGGGAAACGGUUUCCUUAGCGAAAUAAAAAGUCAUAAGAACAGGCCCGUAUGGCCAACGCAAACAAGUUCGAAACGACUGACUUAAAUACAAACGUCUUUUGGGCACAUGCCCGAUGCAGUUAAUUAACAGGAGGGUCGGACGGAGCGGUAGUCCCAGGGUCGGCUGGAGCGACGGUUUCAGGGUCGGCGACGGCGGCGGCUUCAGGGUCGGCGGCGGCAGGGGCCUCGGGGCCGGCAGGAUUGGCUUCAGGGUCGGAUGGGGGAACGGCUUCAUCCUCCAGAAGCUUCGCGAGGGCCUCCGCCGGCGCAGUCACCGCGGAGUCGAUCUCGUCCAGCUCGGCGUCGGUGUAGCCGAUGCAAUACCCCUCACUCAUCCCGACAAAGUUAAUGUCGGCAUAGUGAGAGCCGAAGACCCCGAAGGCGCGCCGCACACCAAGGUGAAGCGCGUCCACGGCAAUCUCACGACGACGACGGCGCACCUCAAGAACACGGGUCAGCAGCGAGCUCGACUCUUCUUCCGGAGCGACGCCGAAGUCCUCGCAGACGACGCGGACCGCAUCCCGCAAGGCGCCAUGCUCGCCGCGCUCCUUGUCGAGCAAAGCCUGCAACUUGGCAAGGUCCUCUGCAGGAGCCGAUCAAGAAACCUCACCAAGUUAAAAGAAACGAAACACCAACAGCACGGAAAUACAGAAGCAGAAAGAGCCUCACCGUCGGCCUUGGCCUUCAGCUCGUGUUCCCGGGCGACACUGAGGGACACGGCGGUCUGGAGCCCGUCCACCUGCAAACGGAAUUGGUCGCGUUCCGCUCGAAGGGCUGCGUUCUCCCCCCUCAGCCGCGCCAGUUCCUCGGCGUCCCGGCGGGCCUGCUCGGUAGCAGCUGCUCUUAGCCCCUCGGCGUCAUGGCGCGCCUUUUCCAUGGCGGCCUGGAAUUCCUCAAGGUCGAGGCGGGCCUUCUCUGCGACAGCCUGGAGCUUGGCCUCGGCACGCCGCGCCCCCUCUAGCGCCGCCUGCUCGCGCCCCUCCAGGUCGCGAACGGCCCCCUGGGCAGCACCGAGCUGCAGGGCCAGACUCCUGGAACGCUCCCUCUCGGCGAUGUAGUGCUCCCAGAGUUUCCGCUGCCGCCGGAGGAAGUUGGAUUUCUCCAGGCUGGCCUCCUGAAGAGCCUGCAAAGCAACAUGACGGUAAGACAAGAAAGUAAAAAGAAAGGAGCUUAUCACCGAGCGGCGGAAACGAACAUACCUGGUUGCCAGGGACUACGGUGUCAGCCAAGGCUCCCAACGCCGAGGUCAGCGCCGCUUGAGCCCGGGCGACGCCGCCAUGCACCACCUGCCACUUAUGCCACUCAGCAGCAUCGUCCAGUGCAUAAAGGCGCCGCGGCGGAUCGUCGCGGGAUGACCAGCGGAGGAUGUGCCCUCUCCACGCCCCGGGAACGGAGGAAGCCGAGGGCGGAACGGGGCCCGACUCUGACGUCGUCGCCGAUGACGACAUCACGACGCCAGAGAUCCCCGGGUCUACCGACGACUCCGGUGCCUGCACAACCGUCGCCACCGCGGCCGCCGACGACACCUCUGUGGGCACAUCCGCCUCGGCCGCCGGAAGCACCCCCGUGGGAGCAGCCGGGACGGAGACCUCGCCUUCCGGCACCGGUACCUCCACCGCCGCCGCGCCCUCGGGGACCAGCGCCCCCUCUGCCUCCGAUCUCGCCACGUCAGCAGGGGCAUCCGCCCCACCCACCGCCGUCUCCGCAUCCUCCGCCUCGUCGGCGUCGAGGUCAAUCACCUCCCCGGCUUGUGGGCCCGGAGGAAUCGCGGCCCGGGCCGGAGGAACGACCGGUUGGGCCGCGGGCGGAGUGGGGUCCGCUUCCCCUCCGGCGGCUGACCCCGCCGCCGUCCCGACGACCGGCCCCCCAGCGACCACCUCCGCUGGGAGACCUGCGGCCACGCCAGGAGCCCCGCCAGUCGCCGCUGGCGGGGCGGCGGCCCGUCCCCCAGAGGAGGACGACGACCGCAGCAUCUUCUUGGGCGCCAGCCGCGGGCUGACGCCACGGGGAGAACUGCUGCAACGUCGACGAAUAGGCCUCAAAUCGAAACAUAUGGAAGGAAAAAGGAAAAAUGACAUGCGAAGAGAGUCAACUUACGCCCUCGAAGCGCAGGGGCGACGUACGCGCUUCGACUCGGAGCCAGACGCCGACCCCGGGGCGUCUGGCAGUGGCCGCUUGUCGCCACCCCGUUGCCCCCCGCCAGCAGGCACGGUGGGGGGGGGGCAGCCCCCACGGAUCCCCGAGGAGCCCCCCGAGCGGACUCCUGGGGGCGCCCCGCACCGGACCCGAAACUACGGUAGAGGCGGGCUCUGAAGGCCCCUGAGGGACGCUCCGGCUCGGCGCCGGGGCGACAUCCCUCGCCGGCAGCAAAGGAGCACCCCCGCGCCUGCUCCUGGGGAGUGCCCUGGGACGGUCCUGAAGGGGUGCCCCGCGUCCCCCUCUGGGGAGGAUCCUGUGCCGACCCUCGGGGGACGCCCUGCGUCGCCCCCUGAGGAGCGGUCCGCGCAGGCUCUGGGAGCACGCGCUGCGCCGACCCCUGAGGCCCGGCCCCUGGACCAGGGGGAGCCGGAUCCCUCACAGGCGCUCCCGCCGCCGCACCCCCUGCCGCCGUCUGCGGGGGUGCGUCGCGAAUCAUUAAAACCCCCGAACGGGGGGCAAACAGUUCCCAUUCCUCCUCCUCCUCCCCUUCUUCUUCUUCUUCUUCUUCUUCUUCUUCUUCUUCUUCUUCUUCAUCGUCGUCGUCGUCAUCAGACACGACCGCCCCUUUCCGCCACCGUAGGAGCUCCUUGGCGGCCCUCUGCCGCCGCUUCUCCGUCUCCUUGUCCUUGCGGCGCUUGUCCUUCUCCGCCUGAGCACGGUUGAGGGCCCUCCGUACGGCAUCCUCCGGCACCGGCGGGAGAGAGUCCUUAACCCGGGUCAGCGAGCCCUGUGGGGCGAAAAAGAGGAUCAACAUCAGAACGACAAGAUGGCAGAACAUCAGGAGGAAGAGGGUAGCGACCCAGACGCCUUACCAGGUCCACGAAGCCCGGCUCCGGGCGCAUCGGCGGGUGCCCGGGGACCGGGUACUCGACGUCCUUGUCCUCCAGCGCCUCCCGGAGCCGUUGCUGGAUCUCGGAGUUGGCGAGCGCGCCUAUCGCCAGGACGGUGCCCUCGGGCGGCGUGUCGGGGGUCAUGACGCCAAGGGGCCGGACCCGGAGCAUCAGCGGCGCCACCCGCCGUGCGUGGUAGGCGCCGAUGACACCGGCACCAGUAAGUCCCUCCCGCUUCAGCUGCCCGAUGGCCUGUAGGAGGUCGAAGAUCUUCUUCUCCUUCUCCACCGGUCCGUACGCCCACACGUCGGGCGCCACGUCGAUGGUGCGGCCGGUGAACGUCGGCAAGGGGGAGUUGGGGUAGUUCUUCAUGUAGAACCAUUGGUUGUGCCACCCCUUAUGGGACACAGAGGUCUUCACCGUCAUAUACUCCUUGGAGCGAGUAUGACGGAGGUGGAUGCCGGCGCACCCAAUCGGCACCGGAGGCGACUGAUGCUGGCCCCCGGCCUUCCCGGUCUUCUGGUAGAGGCUGACCGCGAAGAAGUACUUCCACAGCUCGAAGUGGGGCUCGAUCCCCAGGAAUCCCUCACACAACGCGACGAACGCCGCAAUGUGCUGGAUCCCGUUGGGGUUGAGGUGCUGGAGCUCGAGCCCAUAGUAAUAGAGCAGCCCGCGGAAGAAACGGCUCGGAGGGGAGGCGAAUCCCCGCUCGUGGUAAUGGGCGAAGGAGACGACGUAGCCGGCGGGCGGCGACAGAACCUGCUCCGUCUCCGGCAGCCUCCACUCGUCCCCCGCCGUCCUCUCGCAGAGGAGCCCCUUCCGCACCAGACCUUCGGCGCGCUUGGCGGUAAAGUGGGAGACUCCCCAGGAAGCCAUCGCCAAAGAGGGAGGAGGACCAGCGAAGACGAAGACGAAACGCACGGCAGAUGGCAACGGGAGCGAGGAAAGCGAAAGCGAGCGCAGGAAGAGCUAGAAGGCAAGAAGGCUUGAGCGCGAAAGGAGAGGAACCGGAGCGGCGUGUUCCAGCUUUUAUAGGAAGAGUACCGGGGAAGCCAAACCGACGCCCCGGCCGCCAUAAAUGCGGCGCCAGGUACGCCCCUGCUACGCCCGUUUCCUUUCGAAAAUCGCGCGCACGAUCGGCCGCGAAAAAACAUCCUAUCUUCCUCGAUCCGCGGGACGGCACUUCCAUAAACUCCACUCUUCGGGCUUCGCGCCCAUGACACUCCGCACGACCGGCCCUGGCGCGCCAACUGCUCCGCUCCGGCCCAACACCCACAGGGAGGUAAGAAAGGGAUACGGGGCUGAAAACGCCCCUACGGCCCAAUACGGUCCAGGGGUUCGAAAGAUGGCCCAACACGGGUUCGACAGCUGCCCCAGGACAUCCCCGAGCAAGGGGUGAGAAGGGACGGGCCCGCUAGCGGCCAACACCCAGGCGAGCAAACGCCAAGGGCGCCCCAACCUCACGUUCGAGUCCCGCUCAGUAUAACGUUCAUGGUUUUUCCACGGGGAAAGGCAACGAGCCCUCGGAUCCAAUCGAACGGAUCCGAGAACUAUAUGAACCGACUGGCGGGAAAUUGGAGUACGCCACCAGCUUGGCCCGAGCCGGACCCCCCCGAACGGGGACCGGGACUCCACUCGAACUUACCCGUUUGCAGCUCAAACGAGCAUCACGGUUCGUCCUACGCGGAUAACGUGGCCCGGCUCAACCCCUCCGUCCUAGCGAACGGACGCUUGAGGGGCAACGAUCAAAAAGUCGACCUGGCCUCCCGAUCGGUUUCCUGCAGCGAGCAGGAGCUCGGGGGCUGGCCUCGCAAAAAACUACCACACGUGUGGUCACAAACUGCAGGCUCCCUCAAGCAUGGCAAAAAUGAAACAAGCGCGCCAUAAUGCAGGAACCAACGGCAAAAACAGCGAAAAGAGCCUCCGGAGGAGCACUCCCGCUCCACCACAGGCUCGGGGGCUACUGUCGGGGGGAAAUAUCAACGGUCCCCUAAUACGCAGCUUAAGGAAACAAACCUGAAGGCCCGGGCCCACCAAAAUGUGAUCAAGUCCCCGCCUCGUCCGACCCCAGCAUCAGGACCGGGAGCACCCGACCCCCCUCCGCAGGGUUUCCGCCUCGACCGACCGCGCCCCCAGGGUCGGGAGCCCCCGACCCUGUACCACAAAGGUUCCGCCUCGCCCGACCCCGAGCGAAGGAGUCGGGCACGUUGAGGCCCACGGGUCAGAGUCCUCCUCGGAUACGUUCCGCGUAGACAGGACAAAUCCGGUGGGGCCCCCCGUCGGCCUCACCAUAAAUGCACCGCAGAGAAGGCAGAGCACAGGGAGACCGCGCCCCCCACGCGACCCGGCGCAAGUACCCGCGCACAACCAUCCUGUGCGAGCUACAGUACUGGUGGCCAGCCCCCAUUCGUCACGAAGUACUCAUGAUCUGCGGCGACCGGAGCAGAGCAAGGGGCAGCCCCGUCCUCGGGUCCCGCACGCCCUCGGGCCCCGCGCAAGUGGCAAAACAGGCGUGAAGCUUCCCCUCUCUACAAGCCAUCGUCAGAGCGGCGGUAUCCACCGUCCUCCCUAACGGACGGCAAGGUGACGACGAAACCCCCUCAUCAUGAUCUAUCCUGAUACCUACGAACGUCGAAGUAGCUACCUGCGAGGAGCUGCUGCACUUGGCAUCCGGCGGCGACCCCUUCGAGCAUGCACGACGGCACGCGUUCAGGGUCGGCAGGACGUCGAGCGCCAUGGGCCCCUGCCCUCCUUCCCGCCAGACCUUUUUACCACCUUACUCUUUACCUUUUACCCGAUUCCCAAUUGUAACUCCGGCCAGCCCCUUGCGAUAUAAAAGGCGGAACCCAGAGCCGGAGAGGAGGAGGGAUCGGCAUCUCGAGAGAUCAACACUCCACCUAGAACAGAAGAGACCUGGGUCCAAUCCCUCUCUCGCCCGUCUGUAACCCCCUACUACAGAACCCCUGCGCAGGCAACACGAGUAUCCUCGAUACUGGACGUAGGGCUCCCUUUGCCCGAACCAGUCUAAUCCGUGUCUCCCGUGCAACCAUCUGAGGCUUACGCGCAUAAAAGAAAUUCACUAGUCUAAGUCCUGAUCCGCUGAUCUUGACAACGACACAACUCUAACCUAAUAAACAUGACAACAACUCGGGUGAUAUUUUGACAACUUAAUUGUUGCUGUCAUGUGGCCACACCGUGCACGAUUUGUUAGCGUCAGCCCCUCCAGCCUUGUGAUGUGCACCGACUCAGCAGUGCUGGCAGUCCAACCAGCGACGCAUGAAGGAGGGAAGAGCACAUGGAGUUCUGCGUCGUACACGUGCAUCGACUGCGACAGGAGAACAGCAUGGCGGCCAUGUUGUCAGCGUGAGGAUGCAGAAACCAGCUCUCGCGUCAGCUUAGCCUUAUCCUCUCACUCUCUGACUCUGUCACUCACCUCCAUCUGUCCAUAUAUCCUCUCACUCAAGCGCAUCCAAGCUACGCCCCCAUCCCACGGCUGCCAGCCGCCACCGAGCUAAAGCCAGCCAUGGUUGCCCUCGACCGAACCCAAUCCGAUCCGCCCAUACACAGCACCGCCGCCGCCAUGACCCGUCAACUUCACGCAUCGCGAGUGAUUGUCCAGUUUCAAGAUCCAGAGUGAGUUGUGAUGCUUGCUAUUUUUUCUUUUCUUUCAUGAAUUUUUUUAUAGUUAGCGGCACCAGUGGUUUUCAAGCGGGCUACAGUGGCGCAUCAGGCAGCUCCUACGGUAGCAGGACAACGCAAGCUGCUGGCGGGCCGGAAGCGGCGCACGGACACGACCAACGCAUUGACCAUCGAGCGUGUAGAAAGGGAUUUUUUUGUAAAAUCAUCAAGAACUAUUACAAAGGACCGUGGGUUGAUUAAAAAAAAAGUUGAGGAACUUUUUUGCAAAAUAAUAAAAAAACAAUUGCGCUUUAAUAUUUAAAAUAAAAAUAUUAGGUAGUGGUGGCGAAACCCAAUGCUCCAGAUGAACUAGAAGCCGAUGAUUUUUUUUUCCGGAAGGAGCCGCUACCUACCAAAUGGGCCCUAGGUUUCUGUAUGUGUGUCUGUAUGCUUGUUUGACUCGAUGUGCAACUUGCUCAUCUCGUUUGUGGCGACGGCGAGAUCUUGAUCGGUUGCAUCCUCGCGUAUCACGUGCUUCCUUUCAAUUUCUUUUUAUCACGUGACCUGUUCACUAGAUCUCCAGCCUGCCAUCAGCUAAAAUAACCAGCCUCUUCAGAGAUACGUUUGGAACGGCACCGAGCCACCGAGGUAGGUAGGUGGCGCGGGGGCACAUCAAAUGCGUCAACAAAAGUGGCACUCAAUCGCAGCAGGCACGGCUCUGAAAUCCCAGUUGUACACUGCGCUCUGAGUAUAAAACUAGUACUCAGCCACGUGAGCGGACCGGCUCCAUAUCCAUCUCCGCUUUGCUGUCCGUCCUCGGCCCACGCCCGAAUCCAGAAGGAAUCCCCCACUGCGCGCGCGGGCACCCCGCACCUCCAAUGGCGGCCGCCUCGCUCAAGCUAGCCUCCCCCAAGCCCCUCGCCCCCGCGCCAUCCCCGCUCCUACGCGGGCGGGGCGCGGCGCAGGCGCGGCCCCUCCCUGCGCGCCGCGUCCCGCUGCCCCCCCGCGUCGCCGUGCAGCACCACGACGCGCCGGCCGCCGCCCCGCGCAUCGGCUCCUUCGACAAGGUGCUGGAGGCGCUGAUCGCCGGGACCGACUUCUCGGAGGAGGACGCGGAGGACACGCUGCGGCUGCUGCUGGAGGAGAAGGACGAGGCGCGCAUCGCCGCCUUCCUCGUCCUCCUCAGGGCCAAGGGCGAGACCUACGAAGAGGUGCGUGCGUGUGGUUCGCGAGGGCGCUGCCGGUUUCGUUACAGGAAUGGAUUGGAUCUCACCGUUGACUUUGCUAUCGACUGGUGUUCAGAUCGUGGGGCUGGCGAACGCGAUGCUGAGCUGCUGCGUCCGGGUUGACGGGCUGGACGACGCCGUCGACAUUGUCGGCACCGGCGGCGACGGCGCGGACACCGUCAACAUCUCCACCGGUUCCACCAUCCUCGCCGCCGCGGCCGGCGCCAAGGUCGCUAAGGUAUCGUGUUUUCGGCGCUUUUGGAUCAUCGAAUUCGGCUGUAGUUUUGAGGCCGGUGGCGCUGAUGCGGUGUUUGCUCGUCGUGCAGCAAGGGAGCAGGGCGAGCUCGUCGGCGUGCGGCAGCGCCGAUGUGCUGGAGGCGCUGGGGGUCAACAUCGAGCUUGGACCCGAGGUACUGCCACAUAUUUCUUCAUCUACCUUUUACUAGUAUUCUAGCACCACGAUGGCAACAAGUGCUGGGUUUUGUAAUGUCCUUCGACUUUUCCAUUUCUUAGGGUCCUAGUACCUAUGAACCGGUACGCAAGUGACAUGGAAAAUGAAACGACAAAUCUGUAUGAUGGACAUGUAGGUUGGGGCCGUUGAAUAUGAUUCCUACCACCUGGUUAUUAGUGUAAAAGGACACACUUGAAAUGUUAGAUAUCCAAUUACUGAUUUAUGUGGAUUAGAAUGCAAGAUUACAGUCAAACCAAUGGUACCGUGUACUAGUAAACUCGUGUGAUUCAAUUAGUCACAUCUUGAGGCUGAAAGGUGCCACAUACUAGUGACUUUCUUUCCACAUAUCUCAACAUUUACAGUUGGAGUUUCUCACCCAGCCUGAUGUUCAAAUGCAACCUUGUUGAUUAAGAGAAUAUUUAUUCAGAGAUGUCCAUGCUGUGGCUUAGAUGUCUGCUUGUUCGAUGUCAGGACAGCUUUGUUGAUGCUUUAGUUUUUCAAACUAGCUGCUCAUCCCAUUACUUUCUCCCACUUAUGCCCAAUUUGACAACAUGCUUGAAAAUAAGGUUAUCUGCCUCUAUUAACACUUCUGCUUUUAGCUCAUGCUCCUCAUUUUUAGUUUCGUAUCUAUUAUGUGAAAUGUUUCCAGAAAGAAGGUGCUGUUAAUUGAAAAUAAGGUUAUCUGCCUCUAUUAACACUUCCGCUUGUCGAACUUUUGAACUGCACUAGUUUUACGUACCCUUGAGUCGUCAACUACAACAUACUCCUACAUGACUAUACCUACCAUGGAUUCUAUGAUCGAGGGGUGGUUAGAUGAAAUUGCUCGUGCUCACUUAAUUUUGGCUAUGUUCAACUUCCCUAUCUGUGUAUUAUAUGCUUGCAUAGUCAAUCACUCCAACCUUGUGAUGCUCUUGAGUGCAUUAAUCUAUUGUUAUAUUCUGAUAUUAUGUUUCUUUUAUCCCCUAUGAGGAAAGGCUUGCUGUCUUGACUUUUCAACCUUGAUAUACUGUAUUUCAAUCAUAGUGUUUCCUGCCAGGUGGGGCUAAUUUUGUUACUCUUUCCUGUUGCAAGGGUAUUAAACGGUGUAUCAAUGAGGUGGGCGUGGGGUUCAUGAUGUCUGCAAAUUAUCAUCCUGCAAUGAAAAUUGUCAGACCUGUGAGGAAGAAUCUGAAAAUAAAGACAGUUUUCAAUAUCCUUGGUCCUCUAUUGAAUCCAGCAAGGGUGCCUCAUGCUGUUAUUGGUGUUUACCAUGAGAACAUAGUAAGUAUAUAUUUGUCUGGUCCUUUCUUGUAGCUGUACGAUACAAGUUACACAAGCAAGCAUGGUAUAUCUGUAAGUGUAUCAUUUCCAAAGUGAUAGGUUAAUGUUUGCAUGUCCCAUUAUCUGUAAGUGUUUUUUCCAUUGGUUGUAUUGCCCAGUCUGGGCUUCAUCUUCUUUUUAAUAUAAUCGGCAGCUCUCCUGCAUAGUUCGUUUAAAAAAAAUUAUCAUAUAAACAAUAAAGAUAAAAUAAAGGUGGCUGGAAGCUUCAGUCAGUCCAUUAAAAUGAAUCUGUCUUUCAGAUGAAUGCUCCUUUUCUUAUUACUGAUACUUCCUUGAAUCACAAAUAUAACAUCACUUUUCUUGAAAAUAGAAGUAAUCCACUGUUUCAUUGGCAAACUCUAUAUGAUUGUUAGUCCAUGCAAAGCUCAUUGACCUAAAGUGCUGCAAUUUUUGGCAAUAGGUUACCAAGAUGGCUAAGGCUGCACAGAAAUUUGGCAUGAAGAGAGCAUUGGUUGUCCAUUCAAAGGGUUUGGACGAAAUAAGCCCACUAGGUAUGGACAACUCCAAAUGGUUUCACUCUGUUUCUGCCACUGUUUUGCUACAAAUGGCUGUGGUUUCUCAAGUACCUUUUAUCUUGUUCAACUGGUAUAUUGAGUAUUUGACAGAAGAUUCUUUUUGAUGCUGCAGGUCCUGGAUAUAUCCUUGAUGUUACUCCAGGAAAGAUUGAAAAAAUGCUCUUCGAUCCAUGUAAGAGUGGCUCUUACUUUUUCUCUCAAAAUGUAUACAAGUAUAUUUCAAUGGGUGCACUUUUGUGCAGUUUGGGCUGGCUCAUUUUAGUUGAGUUGCAUCAAUUUGCACUUCCGGCUCGUAUUGUACCUUAUUUUCUAUGUUAUGAUUGCUGACUGCUGAAGAAGGGCAUAUUAUAAUAGAAUCAAUGAACUAGUGGAUGAGGGGAAACGGUAUAACUUUCUUUGCUCUAACAUUUCUCUAUUUAUUACAAUAUAGUGGACUUUGGUAUUCCUCGCUGCACAUUGGAAGAUCUAAAAGGAGGUGAUCCAGCAUUUAACGCAAAAGUUCUUCAGGAUGUUCUUGCUGGUCAAAAAGGGUCGGUUGCAGAUGCGCUUGUAAGUUAGCCUUAGCUCUCUCUUCUGUGCAUUAUACUUCCUCAGGAAAAAUGGCUGCAUAUUCCUUGAUGGAUCCAGUGUUCUGUACCUAACAUCUUGUUUAGCAGCUUAGCUGACACGAAUUUGGUAUCUUGAUUAUCAUUAAUAUUUGGGCAAAACUGUUGCAUUAAGUACCCGUUGAAGAUUAGAGAAAUGAUUAAAAAAUGGUAGAAUUGAACUGUGCUUAUCCAGUGGUGUCUAUAAGCUUAGAUUGAUUUCUGUUGUGCUUAUCCACUGGUGUCUAUAAGCUUAGAUUGAUUUCUGUUUUGCUAUGCAGGUCCUGAAUGCCGCGGCCUCUCUUCUUGUCUGUGGUAAAGUCAAGAAUUUACAUGACGGUGUUGCACUAGCACAAGAGACACAGCGGUCCGGGAAGGCCAUUAAUACACUUGAGUCUUGGAUAAAGAUUUCGAAUGUAAGCACAUUUUAGCUUCUAAUGGGUCUUCUAGGUAUCAUCAGCUAAACAUUGAGCUUUGGAGCAUGACCACCUUUCCCUUACCCUGUUGAUACAGAGUUCCAAGUGACUGAGCGAUGCUGAUUUGCAAUAGAAGGAUUUCUGCAAUAAGGCGAGAGGAAUGGUGGCAAAUAAGGACUCACCAAGUCCAUCCGUCAUCCAUGUAUUAUUAGGUUUUUUCUUUUUUCUCCCAUUUGUUCAUGAUCGGCCGUGUCACAACAAUAGAUGGCUUCUAGUCUGGUUUAUGUAUCAGCGGUGCUGUUGUCUCGAGAAAUCUCCAUCAAGACGGGAUUGUAAGGAUUGUAAGUUCUGCUUGACCGGGGUAGAUGGACAUUGGUUAGAUGAUGUGAUGCCGCAUUACAUUCGGAAGCGAUUGGAAAUUUUGCAAUGCGCAUCAACCUGAAAGAAGCUAGCUCUGCGGGCAGUUCGUUUUUUUUCCGCAGCCGAAAGCUUGUUACAUAAGGAAAUUGGAGCAUGUGUCCUUAAUUCUUGUUUGUAUUUGUGGUUCGAGUAUAUCGACCACACGGCUGACGGCUCUGUCUGACAAGCUGCACGGUGAUUGCAACUGUAUUCUCCAUUUGUUUUCAAUCGAGCUCCUGGGGAAAGCCAAGUUUCUGUUCUACACACACACAACCCAAGUGAACACGGCUAUACUAGUGCAAGCUAAACAAAACGUAUCAGUAUAUCACAAACACAUUACACAAAGCAUAUGCACAGAGCUGCAACCUGCAAGCCUGAACGCAGCCGGGCAAGUGACCGAAAAACUAGGAGCAGGCUCAGACUUUGCCCGGUGAAGCGGCGGAAUGCUUGGCCGCUUUGAGGAUCGCGGCCGACGCGACGUGGAUGGCGGACUCGCCGGGCGGCGCGCCCGGGUCCCGCCGGCUGGACUUGCGCCACCGCCGAUCCCACAGCAGUGACCAGCACUUGACGGUCUCGGCGUCCGGGUCCCUCUCCCUGCACCACCACCACCAACAGCACGGCACAUUUGGUUAAGAUUAAUCAUAUCAUCACAGCAAACAGCAGAGAUAAUCGAGCCACGGCCACGCACUCCAACUGUACGUGGUUACCAAACAAGAGUGCACGGCACUAUGGACUGGUUCAAUCCUUCAGUUCAGUGAGGAAGACGUGUUCCAACAUGUGGUUGUGGGGUAACCAUCUGUGCUUUAUUAGCAGGAGUCGCUUUCACAGGCCGUCGCUGUCAGCCUUCAGUGCCUAUCUACUUGAUGGACGCAUGAUGAUGCAUGAUCAUGCGCUAGUAGCUAGUAGUAACACGACAUCUAAACUAAAAGAUGUGUCUGCACAGCAGCAACUCAAGAUGUGUCUGCACAGCAGCAACUCAGGUGACCAUUUGUAUGUUUCAAAUUUGACGAAAGUUAUAAAAAUAAUAGUGUCCAAAUAGAUUUAGUAUGAAAAUAUGUUACAUGAUUAAUCUAUUGAUAUUUAUUUUGUACCAUAAAUGUUAGUAAUAUAUUGUAUAAAUUUGAUCAAAUUUAAACUUAAUUGACUUCCUGGGAAGCGUGGGAAGGGAGAAUUGCGUUCUUUUCGGUAGGGAGUGGGCAGAAGACGACGACUAGGCGUGCUUCCCUUGGAAAUGUCGUGCCGGCCUUGGAUUGCUAAGCUGCGGUCAGUGCCAAUUUUCAACGCAUGGAUUUGAUUUGAAUUUGAUGGGCCCUAUGCUAUAUGACUGACAGUUAAUAUCUCUAUUUGAUAAAAAAGAGCAAUAAUAAAAACUAAAUUACCCAACAAUUUACUUUAUGAGCUAUGUGAAUUUGUCUUGCAUUCUAGUAUUAUUAUGGAAAUAAAAGGACGGAUCAAGUUCUGUGGCGAUGCGCGGUUAGUUUUGAUUGAUGAGAUGACUGAUUGUUGUCGGAGGGUUUGGAGACGAUUGAUUGGGUGAUUACCUCUUGUUGCACUCGGAGGCGACGCUGGGGGUCCGGCCGCCGGAGAUGGAGGGCGUCCGGCUGGGCCGCGGCGCGGUGAAGCUCCGGGUGAGCGACCGCGGCAUGUAGAAGUUGAGCAGGACGCCGUCGCUGCUGCUGCGGAAGCUGCUCCCGCCGCCGACGCUCCCGCUGUCCCGCCGCCGCGCGGACGCCCUCCGCUCCGGCUUCCCCGCCGGCCUCCCUGACCCCGACCGCGCGGCCGGGUCCGGCUGCUCCUUCCCCUCGGACGGCGGCACGGGCGCGGGCGCGGCGGUGUCGGCGGCUUCUUCGUUGGCGUCGACCCCGACCUUCUCGACGAGGUCGGUGAGCGAGAGCUCGUACUCAGACUCGGGGAGGUCGUGCAGCAUCCCCAGCAUCUCCUCCCGCCGCCGCGCGAUCUCCUGCGCUCGCGCCGACCCCGCGUCCAUCGGCCCCGGGCUCAUCCCCGGCACCCACAGCCUCGCCGCCGCCGCCCGCUCCGUUCUGGCCUGGAGCAUGGCUAGCAGCUGCUCUGCUCCUAUCACUACCUCAGGUGCUCGAGCUGUGCGUUUGGGGGUGCUGCUGCUGGAGUCGUGGGUGGCUGCUGCGAUGCGAUAUAAGAAGUGGUGGCGGUGGGGUGGAGGUGAUCGAUGCGCGCGACGACCCGGCGACUUGGACGGGGUGGUGGCGCGGGAGGCGACGCGCGGACGGGUACCCUCGGUACACGGCAGGCAGAGCAGGGGCGGCGCCCGCGUCCAGUCCAGAGCCAGGAUUUUUGACGGGAUCGGCCUGUGGGUCACGCUGGGAUCUAGAAGGCGAGCGGUGUCUAGCUUUGUGCGCGUGCGACGGUGCGAGCAUCCGCGUAUGCCUUCGGUUGCAAGCAUACAAGUCUAGAAUUGGGGAGGUCCAGAAGAUGGGUGAGUGACGCAGCGUCUGGCCCUGGGCAAACGCGGGUCCACCGCAGCGGCAGUCAGUCAGCGAGCUCCGCCCACGCAUUGAACCAACAGUCAACAGUGCCACCAUCUCAGUCUGUUUUGAUCGUCCUGAAUUUUGGAGUUUUUUCUUUUUUUCUUUCUUUUUUGAGGUAAAUGGUCCUGAGUUUUCAUCAUCGCAGGUGGUCGUUACUCUUUUCAGCAGCACUGAAUUUCUCUGCACCAGCACCGCCCACAUGUCCUUUCUCUGCGAAAGAAGAGGACAUUUCUUAUUUAACAUUAGAAGAUGACUUAAUUCUUUCCUUGAUCCUAAAAUUUUUUUUAUCCCUUAUAUAACACUGAGUUCGAACUUUCAUUCCUCAUUUGACAUUUUCAUCACUUUUAUUAGUUAAGUUGGACAAAAUGACCAUCAAAUCACCUCCAAAAUUCAUGAAACUUUUUGUAGUGAUAAAAUAAAUGAAGAUGAACCCCAUGUUAUUAAAAACACACGUGUACCUUUAUUAUUUUAAAAUUAAAAUUCACCAAAUUAGGCUACUUUUACAAAUUAUCUGAAUUUUAAAGGCAUGAAAACAGUUCUAAAAAAUUAUAUAAAAAUAACUAGUAUUUCUCAUAUCAUAUGCAAUAACUUAUUAAAUUAUUUUCUAGCAUAAGUUACAUAAGAUAAUUAUGAAGAAUGGGAAGUUUGGGAAAUAUUAGAAGAAUCUCAUAAUUUUCUAUGUAACUUAUGAUGGAAAAUAAUUUUAUAAGUGACUACAUCUCAUCUACGGAAUAUUAGGUUUUUUCCCCAUAAUUUUUUAAAAUUAUUUUGGUGCCAUAAAAAUUCAAAUAUGCUUCAAAAAGUAGUAGAAUUUGAUGAAUUUUAAUUUAAAAACUGCAAAGGUACAUAUGCGGUUUUAAGCAACAUGGAUUCAUCUUCAUUGUUAAAUGACCAUAAAAAGUUUCAUGAAUUUUGGAAGGUGAUUUGAUAGUCGUUUUGUCCAACUUGACUUAAAAAAAUGACGAAAAUGUCAAAUAAGAAAUGAAAGUUAGGAUAUGAAUUUUUUCAGAAUCAAGAAAAAAAUUAGGUCAUCUUUUAGUGUCAAAUAAGGAAUUUUCUCUUGAAAGAUUGCAUUGCAACGCUAACAAGUCGUUUGGACGGUCCAACCGAUUGCCUCUUUCAGGUUGCAAAGUGGAAAACUCUGCUUAUUCAGGGCAGCCUCUAGUGGCAGUUCCUCAUCGCACUGUCAACAGCGGUAGCUCGUCCAUGCACAUCUUUUUUCUAUGGUUAGUCUCACAUCGUGCCCAACAUCACUCAACUAAUAGUUUCAAGGGCCUCUCAGUGGAUCACACCAACCUAGCUACUUGUUGGGAUUGCAUCGCUCAUUACCUGGACUGGACACAAAUAUUUAGCAGAAAUGUAGCGGAGGACCAGGAGCCGACUGGAAUACUUUGAUCAUUCUGUUGAUGCUGACACACCAACCAUUGACCAAACCUGAUAUUAUGCACAAAGCAAUAUGUUUUUUUUUCCUGCAACUUAAUCAAGAGUUUGGUGCGUCCUGCACAAUGACAUCUGAAUCAUUGUCGUAUGAAAACAUUGUGAAGCCAGCCGAGAAACAUAACAUUGUACUGACUGCAUCCAAACUCAUCACUAUUCUCUCCAUAGCACAGUGGAUUCAGGCGAAUGCUUACAUAAUGGGGGCAGGGAUCAGAAGUGGCAAAAUCAGGUGAUUUUUGCUUAAAUAUAUGAAGUCCAACGACUUAGGUUUUUUUUUUCCCAGGUAACUACAAGACAACCAAAAAAGAAGAAGAAAUCCAUAGGAAGACUUCUGCAAUACAUGUUCAGAAUUAGACCAUACUCAGGUCCAUAUGCUGAAGCACAUAUAUAUACAGGCAAGCAAUAAAUAAAUAAGGACCAAUAACCAUAUAAGAAAGCUGUGCUACUACAUUCGCAGCUUAAUCCUACACUAGCAAAGUCAUAGUCCGAUCGUUCCAUCUUGAGAUGAGACCUUAAUCAGAAGUAACGGUCUUCGUUUCUGGGCUCUUAGCUCUCAAUAUCCUUUUUAUGUUUACCGUUGGAAUUUCUUGAAUCCUACAAAACAAGCAAGACUCAUGAGCAUGGUGCUGAAACUAUCACCUUCAAGGCUUCUUUCAAAAGAUAGAAAAAAAAUAAAUCAGAAACACAAUACACAUUUCACACAACGGUUAGUAACAUAAAAAUGAGUGCCUACCUGACUCGAAUUUGGUGAGCUUUGCCCAGGUGUUUGUGAAGCAGGUGAUCUUCCAGGAGAAAGUAUUGUGGGUAAAAUCCCAGGUGACUGACCAUGGUUUGAAACUGGGGAACGUAAGAAAGAACUACCAUGGUUGUACGGUGAUAGCGGAGAUGCCAUAGGGGUCUUCCGAAGCCCAUGAGAUAGGGGUCCACCACCAGGAGAUAUAGCUGGUGACAAUGAUUUGCCUGGAGGUAACAUGUUUAUCCUGAUCCUGUAAAACAAGGAAACCGUCAGUCCUGGGCAACUCAGAUCAGCUGUUCAAGAUAACAAGCAGCUACAGUGAAACCACUUACUUGUUAUGUACAUCAACAUACUCAUCUGUUUCAUCGUAGAUUUCUUCCUGUGGAUCAAAUGGCAUGUCAAUUUACAAUAUCUAAGAGAAGCGAAACAAAUUAUCAUGGUUCAACUAUGAUUUUUUUUUGUUUCUCUAUUAAUUUCAUGGGAUGUCUAAAAUGCUGCAAGUAUAAUGAUGUUCCGAUGGGAUAUAGAGAACGCUCACAGCAUCAUUAAUCAAUGUUAUAAGGUCACUUAUCCGAAAGCACUCUGUGAACAAUUUAAAUACUUUUUUGCGAACUAAUGAGAACAAUUAAGAAAAUGUCCAGUCCAACCUGUAGCAAUUCUUCCAUGACAUCUUCCAUUGUGAUUAUUCCAACUGCUUCCUCAUCCAUAGAAUAGCUUGGAAGUGGAUCGGUGUUAAAAUCAAGAAUGUUUUCCCGCUUCCUUUCUGAUUUCUUAUUGUAUGAACGCCCAUCUCCAUACUUCUCUAUGUUAUAUCUACGACUUCCAGCAGUGCUAACAUACGAAGGGGAUGAACCUGAAAGUACAUUCAACUGAUCAGCCAAAGACAAGUGACAGCUAUUUCCUGGAAAGACAUGCGACCAGCAAAGGCUAAUGGAAUACUAGUUCGUACACAGAAAAAAACAUUAAAAUUGAAGUUUAAUCACGGAAGACAAAUUACUAGGAAAAAAUUUAAAAGGCAUGUACCAUCAGAAUGAGCAUCUUUGGGGUUUAUUUUAUAAUCUGCAGUAGUGCUCUUUUGCUUUCCAUUGGAUGCUCCUGCUUCCUUUGUUCUUUUAACUACCACAGCCAUGUGGCUGUGACCUUUCUGGAACUCAUUUAGAAUGUCAUAGAGAGGAAGAUCAUCAUUCACCCUGAUAUACAGAACAGUGGCAACAUUUUGUCGAAAUUAGAAGACAAUCAAUGCAGAUUACUAAGGAGAAAUAUAUGCACCGAUUUUAUCCAAAACAAAAUUUUAUGAAGAACAUAUUGAACGCAAUGAGUGCAUAUGCACUUAUCCAAAACAAAAUUUGUGAAGAACAUAUUGAACGCAAUGAGUGCAUAUGCACUUAUGCUCCUCAAAAUAAGAUCGCGCAAAUCAGAAAGAAUUUAUGGUCACCGCUAGAGCUACAGGCUGGACAGAUAUACCUUGGAAUUUUUCUGAUAGUAACAUUUCGUAUGGGCACUUCAUCUUCAGUUCGGCAAGUAAUCAAGUUUUUAACCUGAAAUGAAAGGGAAUUUUACCAUUGGUCUUUUUUUCUCUCGAACACGCAGGAGAGCUGCGUGUCAUUGCAUUAAUAGAAGGAGUAGUCAUACAGAGACCCAAACACACACACGCACCCACUAGGACUAUUGUAACUUAAUCACCUGUAACAUAAAUGCCAUUGGUCAUAAAAUAAAUAGCAAAUUUGCAAAUCAUUCAUUUCAUUGACAUUAAGGACAUUAAGGAUUCCCCUGGUAAAAAGGACAACAAAAAGAGCUGGGAAGAAAUUGAUAUUAUUCAAAAGUAAAAAUCUAUGACCCUCAAAAAAAGUAAAAAUCUAUUUAGCUCACUCACCAAUAUAAGCCCAAUGAUAUUGCUUGGACUCCCCGAGUAUAUAGGAACACGACUAUGCCCUCUAGUCAUUAUCAUAUCCAUUGUAUGCCUACAGGGAGGAAAAUAGUUCUAUCAAUAGCAUAUAACAAUUAGAGAGCGCAAAUGCUUUAAGUUGAAGAAGAUUCAUACAGGUCCAGCUUAGCAUUUAUGUCAAGUGAAAAUGUUUCAGAUAUAGAAGUCAUGGCGUCUUUUGCAAUCUUUUGAGUGAGCUCCAGAGCUCCUGUAAUGAUAGUGGUUUCAUCAUGAGUCAGCUCUCCACCUUUUCCAGCCUAACAACAAAGUAACAAGACACAUUUUAGAUGGUAACCCGUAUCACUAUUUAUUUGUUGAGAGUCAUAAAUCAAAUAGUCAAAAAGAUAAUAUUGAGGACAUAAGGAGUGUACAAUCAGGAACAUUUGGGCAUUUGUCCCUGUUCAUUCCUAUAAGGUGGUAUAACAUAAUGAAAAAAGUUAUCCAGUAUCUAAUGAAUGAAGAAACAGGAACUUUAAAGAUUACUUUGUAGCUGCAUUAGUAAUAUCGGCACAAUAAUUCAAACGGCAUAAACUACAUGUAAAAAAAAAAUAGCACAGCAUGAACUCAAGAAUUUGAAUAACUAGAUAUUAAAAUGUUUAAACUGGAUAAGAAGUCUUUGAAGAGAAGUGUAUGCCAACCUCAUUGCCGUGCAUAUCAACUAACGUCUUCAGCUCAGCUCUUCUCAUUAGUGCGAAAUGGCCCUUUCCAAGUAGCCAGUCCAACAACUAAACAAAAACAAAUACAUGACCAAAUAAGAUACAGCAAAGGGGAAAGUAAAACAUACAUAUAUACAUCAUAAUAAUAAGCAGGUUGCUGCCAUGAAAGAAAACUGGCUGCCUUCCUCUUUCUUAUUUGGUCAAAGUAUGUUUCUGACGUUUUUGUAGAAUAGCCAAAUUAUGAUAUUCAGUUAACAAUUAGACAUAAUAAUUGAUUUUGUAGAAUUGCUAGUUGAUAACAGUCAGAUAACAGGAAACUGAUUAAGUAUUCUGUAACUGAACUGCUUUUCCCUUGAUGAGUCAGACACAUUCCACAUUUAGACGUAGGCAUAUAUAGACAUCUCUAUUUAUUUAGCUGGGCGACAUGGAGAUGAAGACAAUGGUUGUUGCUUCACGGUUCCAAUUACUUGUUAUUGUGUCAUGGGGCGGACGCAAUGUUAAAUAAGUGCAGAAUUAGUCAGGUUCCGCAAUCCAAUUUAUAAAAGAAGUGCCCAUGUUGACCCCGGGGAAUUUGGAUGACUAGACGAGCAUGGAACAAAAAGCCCUUUUGUUUUGCAAAAUUAAAUAAUGAAACCAGGUAGCGAUCGAUCGAUGUGUCUCCUACUUGCGGCCGCCCGCCCCACCUGUGGUGUCACAUCCCAAUUUCAGUCGGGCAUGGGGCAUCCACCAAGUACGAGGCUCCAAUCCCUCCCUAAUUCGUGCAAACAAAUCGGCCGCCGCGCGCGUACCUUGCUGAUCGGGUAUGCGACGGGGAAGAAGAGGAUGAGAAGAAUCCGGACCACCGGCGCGGCCUUGGCCCCCACGCUGAGCCCGUAGCGCGUGCAGAUGGCUUGCGGCAUGAUCUGCGGGGAACAUAACAUGAGUGGAAGCCGCAGCAACCGAAUCAGUUACUAGCUCAAUUCAUGAAGUAGCUGCAGAAGGGGGGAACAAAUCACAAAUGAAUUGAGGGCAAAAGGGAUCACCUCGCCGAACGCAAGGAUGAGCGUGACGGAGAUGAGGAUGGCGACGUAGGACGGGACGAGCGUGUCGAGGAAUAUGGGCAGCGCCUCCAUGGCGAGCGAGUUGCCGAUGAGGAGCGUGCAGAGGAGCAGGUGCUGGUUCUUCACGACCGGGAGGAUCCUCUCUGAGCGGCGCCCACCACGGAUUAGAGACAGAACGGAAUCAGAAGCAGUUAGCCAGUUACUACUACUGCGGCCGGCGGCGCCGCCGCGGGUGAGAAUCUAUCUGAGGGAGACGAUGAGGAGGAGGAAGAUGAGAGAGAGUAUUGUUACCGGCGUUGAGCUUGUCCUUUGGCUUUCCGGCCUUGGCGAGCACCUCGAGGUCGACGAGGCUGAGUGACAUGAGCCCCAGGGUGAGGCCGGACAUGAGGCCGGCGAACAAGACGAGCCCGACGCAGGCCGUGAGGUAGACCCAGAACAUGGUGCCGCAGCAGGCCUCAUGGCUGGGCAUCUGCACUUGUGCAGCUGGGGGAGUGGUGGUAGCUGCGGCGGGAGCUGGGGGUGCGGGAGCCGGGAGGACUAGCUAGCGGCGUCGUGCGGAAGUGGAACGCAACGAACCGUGUCCCUGCUGCUCGCAGCAACAGCUUUGCUCCCACCGGCUCGGGCCUCUCCUCCUAUAUGGUGGUGGCCGCUUGGUCAUUGGGGCCUUGGGGUUGCGCACUUGCGCCUGCGCCGGGCGGGCUUUCCGAUUCCGUUGCCAACUCCGCUCGUCUUGCCUCCCCGAGCCCACCGGUCAGUAACGGCAACGAGUCCAGCUCGGACACCGCACGCCGCGCGGCCAGGGUGGUGGCCGGUGGGGAUGGAUGGCGACGCGGCUGGGAGUUUUGGGAUGCUGAUGCCUGAUGGUGGUGGACUCGUGACUCUGCUCAGCGUUGCGUGCGGGGGGACCGAUCGGUUUCUCCCGGCCGGCCGGGAAGGGUAACCGGCGAGGAUACUUGCACGGCUCCAUGCCCAUGGAGGCGUUUGUUACCCAACGGGCACUCUCUGCGUCCGGUUACAGAUCAACAGGACCAAAGUUGACAACACAUCCUGAUCUGCUGACGUGCUGCGCCUCAUCAGACAGUCAUGGGCUCGCCUGUCAACCCAAAACCAUAUCUCCCUCCCUCUCCUCGUGGUUUUAGCAGUGUACUCCAUUAGCAGACCCAUUAGCGCCAUCGGUAACUCAAUCCCAUUAUUACAGGACGGCUUAUCUUUUUAGAUGCGGGUCUCAAUGACAUCCAUUGACAUUUUAUUACACGAGAGAAAUAAUUGACAGUCUUUGUUUCUGCCUUUUGUCAUACUACUUAUUACGUUUUUUACCGUGUAGGCAAGGACGAUUACAUAGUACUACUACUAGCCUUCUGUUUUCAAAGCUACUACCCCAUUUGUAAUCUGAUCCAGAGGCCAAGUCUGGGAGUACUGCUAUUGUACAAUCAGUCCAAGCGGUCCGAAAUCAAACCAAGGGAUAAUAUCCAAAGAAAACUGUAGAGAACGAUUUGAAAUAUGAGUGUCCCAGAUACACUAUCCUUUUCAUGGAUCGAUGAACUCCUGCCUCGUGUGUGUAGGUUCUUUUUUUUUCCUUUUUCGUGAAAGCGAUUGUAGUUUUACUAAGAAACACUAGUCCAUCCUCAACAAAAAUUGUUUUUGACUUGGACUAAAUAGACUUUAGUCCCGGGUCUAAAUUUUGUAGUCCGUGAAGGCACCUACACACAAGCCGACCACUAUCAUCAUAAGAAAACACACAGUACCACCACAGCAUCCUCAAGCCAGCUUCAGUUGCUUGUUCUUUUCGAGACAUCUUUCUUUUCACUCGCUUCGCAUAUCAUAAAAGAGAGAACCUGAUCAUGAACCAGUAAACCAAGCGAGGUUAGAAAUUUGCACCUCCACGACUUACUAUAAAAGGAUUGCAUUUCCUACUUAGUUAGAUGUGCUGUGUAAGUGAGAUGGUAAGGAAACUACGCGAGACUUGAGGUCGUGGAUUUGAAUCCCACGCGAAAAUAUCUAAAGAUUCUGAAAGCUAUUACCCAAGUUGAACGGGGCAGAGCUCCCACUAUUUUAAUAGAUGGAACCUAGAACCUCAUGAAUGUUUACGACUCCGGGAGGAAUAAGUAACAGCAGAUCCUCCUAACUAGUAUAGUACUUUGCUGGCAUGAUUCGAGUAAGCAGGUCGGAUACGAUCAGCAGCAGUGUCCUUAUACUAACAAGGAGCCCACACACUGCACACGUGAGCAUACACAGACCACCAGCAGUAACAUUUUUUACUUGCUGCAUGCGUGGUGAUCCGAAUGAUUCUCUGAUAAUUCCUCUCGGUGCUGGUGGCAUUUGCCUCUGAAAAUGGGCUCAUCAGGACGAUGCAACCGGUGGCGGCAUAUUCCCUCCUCUCCUCUCGGGCGCAUGGAUUUGGGGGCGGAGCAUUCGGUGGUCAUGCUUGUUGUUGGCGAUGCAACGACGACGAGCCUGGAUGGAAUAAUUCUGCCCCCGGCCACUGAUCCUGAGCUCAUAUCUUUGUCACUCACGGCUCAAGUUUUGGCUGAUCAUAGGGCUCUUUCAUCACCUCAUCUCUUGCUCAGACGACAAGGCAUACCUUGGUCAUGUGCAGAGCGUCGAAAAGGACCUGUCCGCACUCUGCUCGAAGGGGCAAUUUCAUCUCAGGAUCAACCGCUGCCUGUGUUUCUGCACAAGCUAGGGACAGUUUCAUGAGACGGCUGCUGAUGGCAAUGAGCCAAUUGCUGCUAACAGCUCGGAUGACUAGGAGCUUUCGGUCGUAAUGCCCUGAAGAGAAAAGGAAUGGCCGGUCCAGUAGUUUAGCAUUUGAUGCAGUUGCUUUACCGAACUGGGUCGAGGUCGAUCACGUACGAAUAUGCAUGUAGCUCAUCGACCGAGUGCCCGAUUUUUUACUUAUAAGAGGAAAGGUUGGGCCAAGAAAGCAAUCGUGCACGCGCAGCUUCACGUCGAGACAAGGAAGAAAGUGGAGCGUGUGUGUGAGCGCAUCUCCUUUUGCAUCGCGCAGCGGUGAGGCGCUCAGCUUAAUUCUUAGGUUAUCUUGCCGUCAGCUUAACUGAAAAAGUAUAUGGAGUCAUCAUAUUCGGUGAAGAUUUAUUGAGGAUUCAAAAGCCGGUGAAUUUUCUUUUUUGGUGGAGUCAAGAUCUAUCAGGAUUAUGUAGCUUAUCUAGCAUAUGAUGAGGAAAGAUGAGCUGGGCUAAGAAAUCAAAACAACACGCAUGCUUGCGCAGCUUCAGGUUGAAAGAAUUACACAGAAAAUGAACAUGGCGUAGGCUAGCACACGUAGCGUUUGAAUUGCAGCAUCAUGAUCCACUAUGCAUGCAACUUUUCCCCCAGUGGUGUCUGUUUCUCGUUUAGGUUAUCUCCGCUGGAGGUUAUUUAAUUUGGUCGCAAAAUUAAACCAUCCUACAACCUAAGGUCUCGAGUUGGCCCAACUGAUUUGGAAACAAAAAGGCACUUGGAAUACGGAUUGUGUGGAGGUGCAAUUUUGUAGGGCAUAGCUAGUGGUACACCGCCACGCUGGUACUCUACAUUAUCCUUUCAGCAAGACGCACGUACGCAAGACUUUGCCAUUGCUAACCUAAUCAUCAGUGCAACAGAAAAGUGCUUCCAUAUUCAUGAACUCGACCUUUAAUUGCAAAGUGAGUAACGUUCCUGUGGGAAUAUGCCACACAAUCUUCAUGAACUCGACCUUUAAUUUGAACGAAAUUCGUCGACUCGCGCCUAUCUUAGAUGAAUUGCUCUAACAGCUCCACGCACAUUAUUAUGCCAACUAUUCACUCGCGAUGCUACACGCUCAACUUGUGCAUUGUGAUCGAUCUGUCCUGCUUGGUGGUCACCGUCUGCAUCUCUGGACUCUGUCUGGUUCAUGGCACGUUACAAGGAGCCGGCAAAGGAAGCAAUGCCCCCUUGUUUUUGCCACGAUUCUGUUGCGUCCAUCCGGGGAAGAAGCUAGGCAAGCGUCGAAUUCUCCGGAGCAGCUCCUUCUCGCCUUUCGCGUCAGCUAACAUACGGGACCCACAUGGGCUGUAUGCUCCAUUAGGACAAAUUGUGGCGAAUCAGAAUUCCCCCCAACAACUGUUCGCAGAUGGAAUGCCUGGCAUGCUAUAGCUGGAUACCUGUCGACGUCCCAGCAUCGCCGCUAAUGGAGAUUCUUAAUCUAAAAUAGCAAUGGCCUGUUCGGUAGUGCUGGCUGCACAGCUGCAGCUACAGCCAGCGUUCAACACAGCGAGCGGCUGGCUUGUUGUGCUGCUGCAGCUGCAGCCGCAGCCGGCCGAAAAAAGUGCAGCCGAAUAUCUGCCAAGGAACACGCACAGGUCCUUCACGGAUCUUGUUUUUCGGUUUUACAGGCAAGUAGGCAACCAUCGCCCGUUCUUUGACCCCGUCGGAGUUCAGAUGAUAGUGGCCGUGGCCGUUCAGCGAUCAGGAGCGUGGGCCUGCUAGUCCGAGUUGGGCCACGACCACGCACUGACGAGCGUAUGGCCGGUCUGGGCCAGAUAGCGCUAUGGGCCGCAACAAGAUUCUUUUUUUCUCCCAAAAACGGAGGGGGAAAAAAAGAAAACGAAAAGUGCUAACCACCAGUGGAAGACGAUGUGAGGGGAGCUUCGCCGGAGUUAGAGACGGCGCGGCGAUUCCGGCUCAACAAACCACCAGGGGAACAAGAGGGGCGGCGGCGUGGAGAUGGGGAGCCCUCUCGGCGGGUGGCCGUCGUACAAUCCGCGCAACUUCAGCCAGCUCGUCCCGGCCGACCCCUCCUCUCAGCCCUCGGUCGGUCAGCACUUCCCCCUCUUUGGCGAUCUCGUCUCCAAUACACCGCACUGACUCUCUCCAUAGUUCCUGAUGAUCUUGCAUAAGCUUGAAUAUUUAGUUAGGAGGUAUUGGUUGGUGCUUGGUCAGUGACAUCUGUGGACUCUUGUAUCCACAAUAAAAAACUUCCUUUUGUACUGCUUUCAGGCAGGGAGCAUGAAUCAAUGGUCGUAUGGUUCGAUUCUGCUGAAACCACAGUAUGGAUGGUUUGAGAAAGAGGGUAUCGAUGUUUGUUUUUAGUUCAUCUGCGAGAGACCCGGCUCAGUUUCAGUGAAUUUUCUGCAUACUGUCCAAACAUUUAGGUCUUGGUUUUGUCAUGGUUGCCCUGAUAAGAUUCAGUUGAUGUUGUACUUAUCGAUUGAUGGUGGUUCUUUUUGUGUUUCUAAUCGUACUCCAUCACCAGCAGCUCAUAUGGCACAUAUAUAUAUCCAUUUAGAGUGGCCCUAAUGCUAUUAUUUAGUUUUUGUAUUCUUGACUGAGCUUGAUGCUGACAAGUGAGAACUUAUACUAUGAAAGAUAUAUUCGGUUGACCUCAUGCUGACUGUUUUUUCCCCUUUCCAUGUGUAUCUCAUCAGAAUGUCACACCAGCCACUUACAUUGCAACUCACAGGACAGAUCCGCCUCCCAAUCAAGGUAACACCUUUCCAUGUUCUCGAACCAACGUUCGUGUGCUGCUCCCUUAAAUGUAUCCUAUUUUAUUUGCUCAUUGUCCACUUGCAUGCAAUUGAGGCCAUGGAAUUACUGUUCAUAACUUCAUAUUAUGCCGACAAUUUCUUUUCUACGUAUUGUCGUACUAUGUAAGCUCCGUGUUGCAAAAUAGGUCUCCUGAACUGUUUGGUCUGAACUGAAAGUUCUGUAGGUAGAUGGCUCUCUUAUCUUUCAGGAACGGAGCAUGUUUCUCCAAACAUUUUGCGCCUCAGGGUAGAGUGCUGCAAGUCGCAAAGAGUGAUACCAGCCAUAAUGACUGAACUACUGAACACCUUAUCCUACACAAAUGAUGACCUCUGCUACGUUUCCCCAACCUAUAGUCCAAAAGUUCCUCGCUUCCACUAGUAAUCAGCAGCUGAAUGCUAUGAUUGUUUUUUCAAUAGUAGCUGUCUUAACCAUGGCGCAGUAUAACACUACUUGCCUCACUUGCCAAUUUACCAGCUGCAACUGUCAGCAGUACCAGGCUUUAUGUGAUUUAUUAAAUGCUGUUUGUUUCUUGCAAAAAGCCCAGGUACUGCCCCUUCUCACCAAAGUUUACAUUCAAACUUAAUUAGGAAACCUUUUUUUUGUUACAUUAGGAAAUUCUGAGAACUGAUCGAUACUCGCUUCGUACAGUCCCCGUUCGAGGAGGCCACCCACCUAGGCUUGAAACUGGGUGCUUGCAAAAUGUUUGUGUGUGUACCUCUGCUUUCAUCGAGUUUCCCGGUCAGCCACAGUUUUGCACUCCCGUUCUUGAAACAAAGCCUGGGGGAUUUCAUCUUCCCAUGGUCAAUUUUUUUUAAGUAGGAAAUUCCAAUUUAUGAAGGUAUGUUUCUUAGUUGUACUAAAACACAUUGGCUAACAGCAUAUUAGUAUUUCUCUUGGGUUUGAUCUCCAUAUGAGUGGCUGGGUUUUUAUGCUGGCUCGCCAAGCCUAUCAUAACCCCCCUCCUCCUUUAUCCGGGCUAUGUUGAAACAACACAGGCUGACAGGCAGAGUUCUUGGUAUGUCCAUGUGUAGCUUAUCUAUAUUGCUGCCAAGUUGGUUUGCCUUCUGUUCAGACAUCUAGAUCCCUCAGAACCAUUGCCCUGAUCUAUAUGGUAAGUGCCCAAAAGAAUAUUGAUAUUGGAGGAUGAGGAAGAUGAAUAAAGGUUGGGUAAGUAGCGUUCAAAGGUGAGGGUGGAGCAAGGGUGUUGGUGUUUAAGAUGGAACAACAUGCCAGUUAAACGCCAUUGGAGCCGUCCAGGUGAAAUGCCAUCCACAUAGAGUGCUAGAACUGCGAUAUCCUUGAGAGUAGUAGUAAACUAAUGGUCAAACUGAUUAGGUUGUUGGCUUAAACACUCUGGUUUGUCAAUUUCUAUUACAUCUCACCCUAAACAUUUACAAGGCGACACAAAACCAGAAGUCCUUAUUGCAUCCAGGCCUUUUGGCUCAGCCAUGUCCUCUGCAUGUUGGUGAAAACUUGAUGGUGCGCUGCUGACCAAGUGUACCAAAAAAAAA